RNAcentral lists this long non-coding RNA (45476 nucleotides) under Ricinus communis (castor bean). RNAcentral's name for it is "long non-coding RNA (RCOM_LNC000847)". The stretch from base 14167 to 14273 matches the Rfam family "Plant small nucleolar RNA R71". The record is from RNAcentral. Lineage: Eukaryota; Viridiplantae; Streptophyta; Magnoliopsida; Malpighiales; Euphorbiaceae.
AAAGAAUAAGUCUAUACUCUGGCCCCAGAGGCCCUGUCCUCCGGGUGACCAUCCUCAUAUGCUGCAUAGUAAAAAGGCCCAGCAAGGGUCAUCUUGCCAACAAGUGUCAAGUCAUCUAUUAGAGCUCUGUCCAGUAGCUCCAUCCUCCUAGCAAUCCUUGUCACAUAAGGUCCGCAACAGAGAAAAGUCUUCUUUGGGUUCCCAAUAACAGUCUUGCACUGCUUGGCUAACAAAUAACCCAUGUCCACCCUCCUCCUCAAUGUAUGGCCCAUAAACAGAAUACAUCAGGCUGGUUGACCACUCCAAAACUGUCCCCUCGACCUAUCAAUGUAUAGCUAGUAGGGAGUGAAGAUAUCGAAGGCUAUCAAAGUGGCUAGAUGAGUUGGACUUGCUCGGGUAGUAAGGCUCGUCCACCUCUCAUAUGGUCUCCUAGGCCUUGUCAAAAGAGAUUCCCGAAUUGUAUAUAGAGGUUCUAUAGUUGUUUGAUGCAAUCUCCUUCUUAGUAAACAGUCCCAAUGCUACUCCAAACUCGGGAAUGCUCAUCAUGUGUAUAUAUCCCCCUAACUGAAAUGAAAUAGACUCUGGCUAAGACCAGUCUCUAAUCUGACUUUGGAGGAAGAAGGUGGAGGUGAACUCAAGUGUGAGCUCUCUAUAGGUAGGCUCUACUAUGCUGAAAAAGGCCUUAAAAGGAUGUGUCUGAAUAAGCUCUUAAACCUCAGCAGCUAGUCCUACUGUAUCUAAUGUCUGCCAGUCUAUACAUCUCCUACAGCCUAACUGUCUGUACCGUAGCUGCUGGUAAUAAGCCUCGUGAGUAGGGCUCUGAAAUUGUAAAAGUCUGUGUCAUGCGGGAGCUGGAAGUGGAGCUAGAGCUCUAGGGGCAGGUAAGGCAGGGUGCUCGAGGUGCAGGUGGUGCAGACUGUAUAGGCAAAGGUGGUUGCACAGUCUUAGAGGUCUCGCCUGUAUGCCUUCUCUUGGAGACACCCAUCUUCUAGGGUCUCUCUUACUAAUUAGCCAUAGUACCUGCAUGGAAAUUAAUCAAAACUCUUGCCAAAAUAGUAAUUCCGACAUCAAACAAACAACCAUACAAUAACAACAACAGUUUAACAGCAAUAUAACAACAAUUUAACAUCACAAGCAUAUUUACAUUAUGCAAUCUCAAUACAUUUCAACAUAGCAAAACAACAAAAUGAUAAAGCAUAAUAUCACAGCAGCAUAACAUUUGCAUUAUACAUUCUCAGCACACUUGCAUUAGUCAAUUUUCAAUUCAGUAGUAUAAUGACUAAUUCACCAAACUAGCUCACACUUCAGCAAAUUCAAACAUACAAAAUAGCAGCAAUAAGGCAAUUCAAAGGUAGAACAGAAGAAAAAAAAAUAUGAACAAUAGUAACGAAUAAAGCAAUAAUAGCAAAUCAAAAUUAAAAGAAAAGCAAGAAAUUUAACGAAGCAACAAAUAAAAUUCAACAAAAGUGACGAAUUUAACAAAAUAGGAAAAUAACAAGGAGAUUGAUGAAAAUAAGAAACAAUAAAAUUCACAGAGAUACGAAGAAAAUAACAAAAGAAAAUCGAGGAAACAAAAGCAAUAAACAAAAAUCAAAGAAAAAAACUCGAGGUAGAAAAAUGAAAAUAUAACAGAAUAACUAAAAAUUAUAGAAAUAACUAAAGAAAUUAAAGAAAAGAGUAGAAUCACAUACCAAAAAAUGGAGUAUUGAACAAGGUUAAAGGAAGAAACUUGAUUUAUCGGAAAACACUUGAAAAUUGAAGGAAAAGAGGGAGAGGAUAUUGGACUAUACAUGUGAAGAGACAAAAGAGCAAAAAUUUUGAACUUGUGAUACGAUGCGACUUAUAUCGGCGCUGAUGUCAACACAUCCAUGUUCCAGGCCGUGCUGACUGGCAUGGUUUGGUUCUAGGCCGUGCUAAUUAGCAUGCCCGGUCCCACAACACGUGUAAGUCUUGGAAACCAUACUAAAUUCUAAUUUUUUUCUCAACACGAUGUGGGUGUCCUCAAAACCAUCUAGAAAACAGUAAAACAUAUGCCCAGAUAACCUUUACAAUAUUUGGUCAAUAAAAGGAACAGAAAAAUUGUCAUUUCGAGUGGCAUCAUUUAGCCUCAAGUAAUCUAUGCACACUCGAAAGCCUAUAACCAUUCUAGUCGGUAUAAGCUUGUCCUUCUCAUUUUUAACCACAGUCAUACCUCCCUUCUUAGGAACCACUUGCACAGGAGUAACCCAGGAACUAUCAGAGAUUGGGUAAAUCAAACUUAUAUCAAGAAGUUUAAUUACCUCUUGUUUAACCACUUUCUUCAUGUUCGGGUUCAGUUUGCGUUGUGGUUGCACUACUGGCUUGUAACUAUCCUCCAUAAGGAUCUUGUGCGAGCAAUAGCUAAGACUAAUCUCAGGAAUGUCAGCAAUUUUCCAAGCAAACACCUUCUGGUACUUCCUAAGAGAGGCCAAAAUCAUCUCCCUCUCUUCAGGUGUCAAGUCUACUGCUAGAAUGACAGACAACCUGUUGUCCUCAUCCAGAUAUGCAUAGUUGAAAUGCUUUUUGGGAGCUCUUUCAACUCAAGGACUAGUGGUUCCUCAAGUGAUGACCUCAAUUUCUGCACACCUACCUUGUCAAUCUCAACAAACUUAUCAGUAUUCUUGUUUGGUUCAUUAGCUAAGAAAAAUGCAAGCUGCUCCAACAAACUCUCAUUGGAUAGCUCAUGCUCAUCCUCUGCUUGCAAGGCAACAUGUAAAGGAUCAUCAAGCAAUAUCUCCUGCAAGUGUGUAUCAAUAAUAUCAUCAAGUACAUCAACAAAAAACAUAGUAUCAUCAAUGAUCUAAGGACUAUCUCAUAGAACUGCUCAAAUAAAAAGUGACAGUUUCAUCCCCUAUCCUAAGUUCAAGCUUUCCAUCACAAACAUCUAUAAUAGCCGUAGACGUUGCAAGGAAAUGUUGACCUAGAAUCAAAGUACAUUACUCUCACUAUCCAUGUCCAUGAUCACAAAAUCAAUAGAAAAUAUAAAUUUGUCAACCUUAACAAGUACAUCCUCUACAAUACUCCUAGGAUACUUAACAGUCCUAUCAGCUAGCUAUAUGCUCAUCCUAGUGGGUUUAGUCUCAUUAAGCCCCAACUUAGUAAAUAAACUAUACGGCAUUAAAUUAAUGAUAGCUCCUAAGUCAGCUAAAGUAUUGCUAAUUGUCAAAUCACCAAUCAUACAAGGGACAGUAAAACUCCCUAGAUCACAUUUCUUCUCUGGCAAUUUGUUUUGAAGUAUAGCCGUACACUUCUUGUUUAAGGUCACGAUCGCCAAGUCCUCCAACUUCCUCUUGUUGCUAAGAAUCUCCUUUAAGAACUUCGCAUACCUAGGCAUCUGCCAAAUAGCUUCAACAAAAGGCAAGUUAAAUCGCAGUUGUUUAAACAAGUCAAGAAACUUACCAAACUGCUGAUCGACUUUCUCCUGCUUUAACUUAGUAGGAUAUGGGAUCGGGGGCUGGUAUUCCCUCAAGGGACUUUUCUUCUUUCUCUCUACCUUCUCUAGCUCCAUCACCUUGCUAUCUCCAUCUUUUCUAUCUGAAUCUACCUACACAACAUCAUCAUCAUCAGGAAUAGGAAUAGAACUAGAUAGUUGCUUACCUGAUAACAAAGUGAUAGCCUUCACGUGCUCUCUCGGGUUAGACUCCGUAUUACUGGGUAAAGUCCCUAGCUGCCUCUUAGCCAACAUCUUAGAAAUACGACAUUGAUAUUUGCCAUAGCUAGAUUAGAUUCGAUAGGUGUACUUGCCCAUAGAUUUCUAGUCGUAUUAGCAAGCCAUCAUCUUUUUGCUAAAAAAACCACCUACAAUUGCAUCUACCAUUUGCUUAGUAGCCAAAUUCAAACCAUUAUAAAAAGUUUGUACCUGUAACCAGAUUGGUAGUCCAAUUACUAAAUGAAUUUCUCAAUCACAUAAAGUAAUCUAAAUACCACAAUUCACAACGUCUCAUGAUUAAAGUGAUUUCUCAUUAAUAAUGAAAGCAAGAAGAAAUAAACAUUGAUAAUCAAAAUCUCAUAAACAUUGAAAUUAAUCCAACAACAUAGGAACUCCAAUUGGGUUUGACAAUUUAGCUACUCAUACGAAUAAGCAACACAAAAUAAAGAAUAGAUUCAGAAAAGCAAAUUAAAGGCAUGUACACCCUUCUUCUUCAGGUUGGAUGAGAAACCCUAAAUUUGCAAUUUAGAAUAGUAAACCCUAAUUUGCUUCUUGAAUGUUCCCAAAUCUUGUCUUGAUCUUCAAUUUGAUGUUAAAACAGAUGUAAUCUUUCUUUCAAUUGAUGAAAUGAUCUUCUAAGGUCGAGAAUUAAAGUCUGGAAGCAGAUGGUUUAAGCUUGUAUAAUGGAAAUCAAGUCAGAAAAUCGAACCCUCAUUCAACAAAUCAUUUUUGCUUAUAUAAUCCCUUCAGCACGGCCGUGGUCAAGCCUAUGCUGAUCAGCACGGGCGGAGUCUAGGCCGUGCUGGACCUCUACGUUCCGCUUCUGUUGACUUCUUCCAGGCCAUGCCUUCGCUGGUGUUGAGCCACCACGAGCCGUGGUGGCUUCCGAAACCGUGCCAAAAUGGCACUCUUGGAGGGUUGCUACUUGAUAAUUCAGCAUGGCCAGAGUCUAGGCCGUGCUCAACCUCGGAAUGCUAGUCCUUGCUCAAUUUGAUGGAUUCUGGUCCGUAAUUGCGCGUAUUUCCCUCAAUUAUUGAUUAUGUCCCUUGAUAAUGAUCUGAAACGUAAAAGGAACCAAAAGACAGGUGAUUCUAGCAUAAAACGAGAUAACUAUGCAUAAAAAUAUAAACAAUUGGGCAUGUAAAUAUGUAUAAUAUGAUGCCUAUCAAAUUGCCCCACACUUAAGCUUUUGCUUGUCCUCAAGCAAUUAAUAACUCAAUACAUGCACAAGCAACAAUCACCCCCUCAAAAUCCAUGCUAAAGUUCACAACUCAACCUUAUUCAAUAUAUAAAGAAUGAAACUCAGUAACUAACAAGUUAUACACCUUUAAGGAAGAACUAUAAUAAUAUCAUCUCGAAACACAACUUACAUAACAAAUCAGCAUUAAAGACUAAGAACCAUUGCCUCACAGGGAUCUCUCAAAUUACUCACAGUGUUUACAGGUAAAUAAGAAAAUUCCCUCAAUGCAGCUGCAUAAAACCUAUUUACCAUAAGCUUGCUCAUAAAUCUUGUCUUCGCUACCGCGAAUAAUUGAAUACCAAAAUCAAAGGGUCUUUUCAAAGGUUGUAAUGAGGCUGAGGUAAAGGUAAGAAUAUUUGGAUAGAAGUGUGUAAAGUAUACUGAAAAAUUAUGUAAUUAAUUGAAAUGAAUGCUUCAGGAACUGAGUGCUAAACAAUAAAAAUAUUCACUAAGCCUUAUUUGAAGUAAAUGAUGCUCACAAGAGUUAAAUUCAGAAGAGCUAAAAGCUAAGAAAGCAAGUCAUAAUUUUUUUCUUUCUUUCUCUCUCUCUCUCUCUAUAUAUAUAUAUAUAUAUGUAUAUAUAUUUCUUUUUUUGAUAUGUACUAUGUAUUAUAUUACAACAGCUUAUAUAGGGGCUGCUAUGGUUAAUGACAUAAACAAUAAGAAUAAAUAUCCAAUUUGGAUUGAAGGGAGCAUCAAAGAAAUGACUGAAAAGACUAAGUGAAUUAAAAACAAUAUUAGGCACUAUAAUCCCAUAAAUGAGGAAACAUAACACAUAAUUACUCAGUAUACAGGGUAAAAGGAAAGACAGAUGCACAGAAUGGUGUAUGCAUAGUGAUUAGGUGUAAAUUAUGAAGAAAAUGUUAAGGCUCAAACUGGCCGACUAAUGGAAACAGAGGGUAGGCCUUUGGCCAGAUGUGGUGAAAUCCUAAGUUGCCCAAAUCAUCUAAUGGUAUUCAAAAAUUCAUGUAACCACAACAAGCAUUAUAGAGCAAGUUCUAGAAACGAAAGUAAGCACAACACACACUCAAACAAGAAAAGUCAUGAGCAUAAUAUGUAACGGAUACUCAAUUUUUAGUUCAAAAACUGACGUUUGAAGUGGCUAAAAUUUGCAACUGGUUCCCAGACUUAUCAAUUGAAUCAUCACAUAAAUUGAAUACGAGAUUGACAUAAUCAAAGUUCACAGUCAAAGGUUGUAAAUUCCCAAGGAACUCAAGUAACACUGGUUUAACCCGACCAAAUUGACAUAUUGAAUACAGUGAAAUUGCUUUCAAGAAGAGAAGAUAAAGAGGGACAAUCAAGUACUAGUGUAUGAAUUAAGUCAUUAAUUACGAAAGAAUAAACUAAACUUCAAUGUCAUGAAAACCCUAUGUCCUAACAUCCUAAGAAUAGUCCAUUAUCAUUGCCUUUAAACAAUUAAGGGAUACCCACCCCACACUUGAGUAUAACGCUGUCCACAGUGUUAGAAAAAUUAAAACUGGGUAUAGCACAUAACUAGCACAUCAUAAUCCUUGAAGAUCAUACUUAGUGUUCAUUUCAAAAUGGCAAAGCAAAGUGUUCUACUAAAAUAAAUUAACAUGAAAGGAAAAUGAAAGGAAAUAACAUUAAAUUAAACAUGCAAAAAGACAAGAAAAUAAAAUAAAGGAAGAAAAAUAAAAAGAAAAAUAGCAUAAAUUUUUGUUUCACUGCUGGUAGUCUGCCGAAGGCAUAUCCUCACUGGUUGGAUUUGUUGGAGGAUGAGGAGUAGGGGAAGUCAUUGAAGGAGGGGGCAGUGGUGGUGGCACAAGGUCCGUGAAGCAUCCUGCCAGAUUGAACUUCAUAUCAUCGAUGAACCGCUGAUUUUUUGCUCCAGUGUCCAUCAUAUUUUUAAUCUGCUCCGCUAUUAAGUCUGUUUGGGUGGCCUACCUCUCCAACCCUAUCAUAAGCUGCUGGAGCAUAUUGUUCAAAUAGCGAAACUGUGCCCUAGUCUCCUCUUGAUACUACCCAAACUCCUUUCUCUGAUGCGCAAACUCAGUAUAGUGUUGCUAUUGUACAUCACAGACUCGAUCUAGUCGGUCAGCCAAGGCACUAAUCUGAGCACUCGAUGUCCCUACAGAAUAAGAGGAUGAGGCUUUAGAUGUAGGCAUAAACACUCUAGCUGGGUUAGGAAUCCUAACAUCUGGAAUCCCAGCCGUCGGAUCUUGGGCUCCUCUAGCCACUGCCUCUCUAGCCUCCCUGACUAUUGUGUUCAUGAGCCUAUAUUAUAUACCAUGUGGAUGUCGAGUAGCCGUGAUCAUCUGCAUGUUGAUCAUCUGUCUGAUCCCUAGUAGUGUCAUGUCACCAAUCUGUGAAAGCUCUGACAAACAAUUGUCCAAUACAUCUAAUCUCUUGGCUAACCUAGUUACAUAUGGGCCAAAACAGUAGUGCAUCUUCUUCUGGGUGUUUACUAUAAAUGAAUGGGUUUGUCGAGCCAACAAAUAUCCCAAGUCAAGCUUCUUCCAAUGUUGCAUAGCCCAGAUGAUGAAGACAUCAGUCUGUAUUACCGCCCCAAAAUUAUCUCCCCUACCUGUAAUCGUGUAAGCUAAUAAGGUAUGGAGAUAGCGGAGAUGAUCCGGAAGGCUAGACGCCUUAGACCUGCUGGGGUAGUACGAUUCUGACUUAAGUACCAAUGAAUCCCACAUGGUGUUGUAUGAUAUUGGGUUGAUGUAGAGACAUCCCUGAUACUCCUGCUCAGUCCAUAAUCCCAAGUGCAUGCCGAAUUGUGGUACUGACAUUGAGAACUCCCUUCCCCCAAGUUUGAAGUAAACUGCAUUAGGCUGAUGCUAGUUUGUGAUCUGUUAUUGUAGGAAGAAGGUGCUGAGGAAUUCAAUCGUAGCUCACGGUAGGUUGGCUCAAUGAUGUCGAAGAAUCGCACAUAUGGCAGAGUUUCGAACAGAUUACGCACAUACUGAGCCAAUCCCACUCUUUCUAGGGAUACGAAGUUGAUGCAAUAACCCGCCAUCACUUACUUCCAUCUCAUAACUUGGAAUCAACUUUCAUUAUCUGCAUUAGGAAAUGUCUAUAAUGGAUGACGACCAGGUGCGGGUGGAUUCACAGCUGGUGCUCUUCGGGCUCGGACUAGUUGCUGUUGCGGUGGAAGUGCUGGUGCUGGUGUUGGUUCUGGUGCUGGUGAAGUGGAGGAAGAUGUUCCUUCACCAUGCGAGCGCUUGCUGGUAGCGGCACUUUGCGGUUACUUUCUACGUGAUUGAUCGUGAUCCCUCAUAUUACCUAAUGCAAUGAAUCAUUAGUUUUCAAACAAGAAAUCAAGUUAAUAAGAAAUUAUACCGAAAAUUAAACAAUAUAACAAGUAUAAUUUGAUUAACAGAAAACUUUAGACUUAACAAAAGACUAAAGCCUCAAUCUCCUGCAUAAACUAAUUAACCAAUACAUUCCAGCCUACUUUAUCAUGCACCAACUAAAGCAAAUUUAUGCCAACAAUUGUUCAUAAUAAAAUGCCAUAAAUAAACUUUAUUGCUGCCAAACCCCACACUUAUCAUUUUAUAGUAGAAUCCACAACAAAAAUAGCAACUAAUAUAAAUUAAAUCUAAUCGAGGUGAUAUGGAAACAAUGUAACAAAGCAAAACUACCAAAACAUACUAGCAUAUCCUAAAUAAAAUAAAUGCAUAAAAGAAAAAUUAAAUUAAAACAAAUAAAAGCAAAAAGCGAAGAGACUUACUUGAAUUUGCUGAGACAUGUAAGAAAAAUCAGAGAUAAGGAAGAAAACAACACCUUGGAGCUUAGAGGGGGAAAGGUAGGAAAAUUGUGAAAACUCCCCUUUUAUAGUCACGGGGGUCAACACGGGCGAGGGCGAGGCCGUGCUAGUCAGCAGGUCAGGACUCAGCCCGUUCUGAACCCUAAAGCUGCAUUAUGGCGCCCAUCCGUCAUAGGUGAGGGCACGGCCUAGUGUUGCUGCCCGUGGUGCCUUUGGAAAAUGUGGUGACGGCUGAAUUUUCCUUUGUGCUUUACUUGUAUCUUCAUCACGAGAGUGGGCACGGGCAUGGUGACCGGCAUGGCCUGGUGAUGUAACCUGUGAUGCCUUCAGAAGGCGUGGUGAACAGCUGAAUUCCCAAAUUCUACAUGUGUUUCCUCAUCACGGGCUUGACUCCGGCCGUGCUGAUGAGGACGACCCGGUGUUGUAGCCCGUGAUGGCCACGAAAACCAUGGUGGAAAGGGUUGAUCCGAACUUUCCUUCACCAUCUCGAGUUGCCGAACUCCCUACCUGCAUUCGACACAUAUACGCACACAUUUAGGUUAUGAAUUAAGUAAAUAAAUCAAACGGGAAAGUCCCACUUCAUCGAUUACCAAAAAUCUGACAUAAGUUAUUCCAACCCUAAGUUCAUACAACUAUGUUUAAUAUAUAAAGUAAGUGUUCUAAAGAUCAACAAGCAUGCAACGAAUGAUAACAUAAAAGUGGACCGAAGAAAAGAACAUAAAACUAGAAUGGGAAUGCCUCCCAAGGGCGCUUCUUUUUUAUUCUUGAGUCAUUUAGCUGGACUCAAUAUGAAUCAUUAUUGCAGGUACAGAAUCAUGUUAACCCGCUGCUCAGUCUCCAACGAGUUUUUGUGAUACACCUUGAGCCUAUGUCCAUUGACCUUGAAAUCACCCUUCUCGGGAUGAUGAAGCUCGACUGUUCCAUAUGGGAAAACUUGCUUAACCACGAAGGACCCCGACCAUCGACUCCUGAGCUUCCCUAGGAACAACUGAAGACGUGAGUUAUAUAGCAAUACUCUAUCUCCACUCUGAAACUCCUUAGGACCUUUGAGCCUCUGAUCGUGCCACUUCUUUGUCUUUGCCUUGUAAAUUGAAGAGUUUUCAUACGCUUGUUGACUCCAUUCCUCCAAUUCACCCAGUUGCCACUAUCUUUCCUUACCUGCAGAAUCAACAUCAAAAUUGCAGGUUUUAAGGGCCCAAAGAGCCCUGUGUUCUAAUUCGACAAGUAAAUGACAAGACUUCCCAAAAAUCAGCUUAUAGGGUGUAAAACCUAUGGAGGCCCUAUAUGCAGUUCUAAAUGCCCAUAAUGCAUCAUCUAAUUUCGAGUCCCAAUCCUUCCGACUUACACCCACAGUUCUCUUUAAGAUACGUUCUAAACCCCUAUUAGUAACCUCAACUUGCCCAUUGGUUUAUGGGUGAUAGGGAGUGGAGAACCGCUGAGUUACACUAUAGCGCCUGAGUGCCUUCUCCAAUUAAGUGUUGUAGAAAUGUGUUCCCCUGUCAAUAAUUAGUGCUCUAGGUGUGCCGAACCUAGCAAAUAACCUUUUAAGGAACCUGCAAAAAACUCUAGCAUCGUCAGUAGGUAAAGGCCUGUGCCUUCGGCCAUUUGGAGAAAUACUCAACAGCCAUGAGGAUAUACUUAUUACCAUUUGAGGAACGGAGGGGUCCCAUGAAGUCAAUACCCCAAUAUCAAAUAUAUCCACGGUCAACAUACUGUUUUGGGGAAUUUCAUCACGGGCAGAGAUAUUAACUAAGCGCUGACAAGCGUCACAAACCUGAACAAAGGUUCUAACAUCCUAGAAGAUAGUUGGCCAAUAAAAGCCUGCAUCCAACACCUUCCUAGCAGUAUGGUUCGCCGCUUGAUGGCCUCCUACAGGUCCUUCAUGAUAGUGCCUCAAGAUUUGGAGACUCUCUUUGUCAUAAACACAUCGGCGGAUGACCUGGUUUGCACACACUCGAUAUAGGAAGGGGUCUUCCCAAAUGUAGUAUUUCAAAUCAGUAAAGAAUUUCUUCUUUUGCUGAUAAGUCAUACCCUUUGGUAAGACCCUAGCCACAAGAUAGUUAGCAUAAUCAGAAAACCAAGGAGAAUCGAAAUAUACCUUUAAUUAAUACAAGUGCUCCUUUGGAAAUCGAUCAUUUAUCAUGCUCUCAUCAAGUGCUUCCAAGCUCAGAUUCUCCAGUCUGGAUAGGUGAUCUAUUGCUAGAUUUUCUACGCCCUUCUUAUCUCUAAUCUCAAUGUCGAACUCCUGCAACAAUAAAAUCCAUCUGAUCAGUCUUGCCUUAGCAUCAUGCUUAUUAAACAAAUACCUCAAAGCUGAAUGGUUAGUGAAGACCAGUCUUUGAUAAAAUGAGGUAUGAUUGAAAUUUGUCGAAAGCAUAAACGACAGCCAACAACUCCUUCUCUGUAGUAGUGUAAUGUUCCUAGGCUCCUGUUAACGUCUUGCUAGCAUAAUAAAUGGGUUGGAACUUUUUAUCAAACCUCUGUCCAAGCAGAGCUCUAACUGCAUAGUUACUAGCAUCGCACAUUAGUUCAAAGGGCAGCCCCCAAUCAGGCGAAGCUAUGAUAGGGCUGUGGUCAAAAGUUUCUUUAAUAACUCAAAAGAAGAAACACAUGCAUCAUAAAAAAUGAAAGGUGCAUCCUUAACUAGUAAUUGAGUAAGAGGCCUAGCAAUUUCAGAGAAAUUUCUAAUAAAUCUUCUAUAGAACUAAGCAUGACCUAAGAAACUCCUAACAGCCCUAACAGAGCUAGGAGGUGGUAGCUUAGAUAUUGUUUCUAUUUUGGCUCUAUCAACUUCCAUUCCUGCAUGUGAAAUUUUAUGCCCUAGAACGAUUCCCUCUAUCACCAUAAAAUGACACUUUUCCCAAUUUAGCACCAAGUUAGCCUCAAUGCACAUAGCUAACUUGCGUUCUAGAUUCGCCAAACAGUGAGAGAAUGAAUUACCAAAAAUAGAGAAGUCAUCCAUAAAUACCUCCAUCGACUCCUCAAUCGUAUCAUCAAAGAUGGCCAUCAUACACCACUAAAAUGUAGCCGGCACAUUGCAUAUGCCAAAAGGCAUCCGUCUAUAAGCAAAUGUCCCAUAGAGGCAGGUAAAAGUUGUCUUCUCUUGGUCUUCAGGUGCAAUUAGGAUCUGAAAAUAUCCUGAAAAACUAUCAAGGAAACAAUAAAACAUAUGUCCAACCAAUCUUUCUAACAUCUGAUCAAUGAAAGGAAGAGGGAAGUGAUCCUUCCGAGUUGCAUUAUUAAGCCUCCUAUAAUCAAUCCAUCCGUGUAGGUAUCAGCUCAUCCUGCUCAUUUCGAAUUACUGUCAUGCCUCCUUUCUUCAGUACAACCUGCACAGGGCUCACCCAAGAACUGUCAGAAAUAGGGUAAAGUAAUCCUGCAUCUAGGAGCUUAAUUGCCUCCUUUUUCACUACUUCCUUUAUGUUCGGGUUAAGUCACCUAUGUGGCUGAACUACUGUUCUAUAGCUAUCCUCCAUAAGAAUCUUAUGAGAACAGAAACUAAGGUUGAUCCCGGUAAUAUCAGUGAUCUUGUAGGCGAAGGCCUUCUUAUAUCUCUUGAGAGUUUUUGCUCACUCCUGAGGUGUUAAAUCUGCUACAAUAAUCACCGGUAACUUUUCUUCCUCAUCUAAGAAUCCAUAGCUUAAGUGCUUAGGCAACUCCUUCAAUUCUAAGGUCGGGGGAUCCUCAAAAGAAGACUUCACUUUCCGCACUUCUGACCUGUCAUGAGAAAGAAAAGGAUUAGUAGAACAGCUAGGCUCAGUAGCCAACAAAUUAGUGAGCUGCUCCAACACUUACUCGUUGGACAGCUCCUCCUCAUCUCCUUGCAAGGCUACCUACAAAGGAUCAUCAAGUAACAUUUUCUGUAAAUGAGACUCAACCAAAUCAUCCAAAAUAUCAAUAGAAAAUACAGCAUCAUCAUGGUCUAAAGAGUGUCUCAUAGUAGUAGCUAGGUCGAAGGUAAUGGUCUCAUCGUCUACCCUAAGUUUAAGCUUUCCAUCAUAAACAUCUAUUACAGCCCUAGAUGUUGCAAGAAAGGGCCUACCUAGGAUCAAAGGCACAGUACUCUCACCUUCCAUAUCUAUAACUACAAAAUCCAUAGGAAAAAUAAACUUGUCUACCUUAACAAGCACAUCUUCAACAAUUGCCCUAAGAAUCUUUACAGUCCUAUUAGCUAACUGAAUGCUCAUCCUAGUGGGCUUAGGUUCAUUCAAACCUAAUUUAUCAAAUAAACUAGUGGGCAUUAAAUUUAUACUAGCUCCUAAAUCAACUAAUGCACCACUAAUAGGCAAAUUGCCAAUGACAUGAUGAACAGUAAAUCUCCCUGGAUCUCUUCUUUUGAGUGGUAACUUGUUCUGAAGAAUAGCCGAACACUCCUCGUUCAGAGUCACUAGUCCCAAAUCCUCCAACUUCCUUUUGUUACUCAGAAUUUCCUUUAAGAACUUUGCAUACAUAGCUUCAAUAAAAGGCAGGUUAAUCUGUAGUUGUUUAAACAAGUCAAGAAACUUACCAAACUGCUUAUCAACCUUCUCCUGCUUAAGUUGAGCAGGGUAGGGGACUGGUGGCUGGUACUCUCUCACAGGGCUCCUCUGCGUGUCUUCCACCUUUCUCUCCUCCCAUUGUCUCAGGCUCAAGCUCCUGCCUAGCUGGCUUAUCCUGCAUACAAACAUCCUCAUCAUCAGCUAAAGGUAAAGAGCUAGACAAUUGCUUACCUGAUCGCAAGGUGACAGCCUUGCAAUGCUCCCUAGGGUUUGACUCUGUUGUGCUGGGGAGCAAUCCUUAUGGCCUUUCAGACAGCAUUUUAGAAUCUACCCAAUUUGACUCUCUAAAUUCUAGAUGGAUGCCUGCUGAUUUCUAAGAGCACUGUCUGUUUGCUGGAAUCUUGUCUCUGUCGACGUGACAAACUUCAUCAUCAGCUCCUCCAAGUUAGGUUUCUUUUCGGCUGGUAGAGGGGGCUGUGAUGGUAUAGCCUACUGCUGCUGUUGUGGUGGCUGCUGAUGCAGUCUCUAAAAGUCUGAUGGACCCUGGGCGUUGUUGUUUCUCUACCCGAAAUUUGGAUGAUUACGCCAGUCGAUGAUGUAUGUGUUGAUGUAUGGGUUGUUCUGCUGUCUAGGGGCAUUACCCAUGUAGUCUAACUGUUCAAUGUCAGCAAAAACAAUAGAAGAAGCAUUAUUACUCGAAGCAAACAUACCUCCCGCAUUACAAUUUGUACCGUAGUGCGGGCCACCAUAAAAUUCACAGCUUAUCUGGGCUGCAUGAACCAACAUCUGAAGCUGGUCUAACUUCUUAGUUAAAAGCUCCACUUGAGCUGCCAAGGCUGCUAUGGAGUCUAGUUGAUUGACCACUCCCUACCUCACUGGUUGGCUCCUUGAAGAUUGCCACUAGUAAUUGUUCAUGGCCAUCUCCUCUAUUAAGUUUUGAGCCUGCUCGGGUGUCUUACUGUUCAGCGCCCCUCUUGCUGCUGCAUCAACCAUUUGUCGAGUAGCAAGGUUCAAACCGCUGUAAAAGGUUUGAACCUGCAUACAUACUAGUAGACCGUGGUAUGGACAACAUCUCAACAAGUCCUUGUACCUCUCCCAGGCAUCAUACAUGCUCUCGUCUUCCAUCUGCACAAAAGAAGAAAUGUCAUUCCUUAAUUUAGCAGUCUUAGUUGGAGGAAAGUACUUGUAAAGAAAUUUCUCAGCUAAUGAUCUCCAUGUCGUGAUAGUGUUGGCUGGGAGCGACUGCAGCCAUCUUUUUGCUCAGUCCCUCAGAGAGAAAGGAAACAGGCUCAACCGAAUGGCAUCAUCAGUUGUUCCAUUUAUCUUGAAGGUGUCGCAAAUUUCCAAGAAGUUGGCGAUGUGAGCGCUUGGGUCCUUGCUCAGCAGUCCCUCAAAUUGUACACUAUUUUGCACCAUUUGUAUCACAUUUGGCUUUAUUUUGAAAUUGUUGGCUGCCACAGGUGGUCACAAUAUACUCAUUUAUGUCCCUACAAGAGAAGGUCUAGCAAACUCAUACAUAGUUCUGGCUUCAUCCGCAACUAGAUUGUUGUCCCCCAUCUCUGCUGGUCAAUUCACAGAAGCUUCAAACUCUAUCUGCACCUCUUCUUCUUCUUGCAUAUGCUUCCUCAACAAAUGGAGGGAUCGCUCUGGUUCAGCAAAAGGGUCUAUAGUAGUAUGAUUCAAGCUUCUGGUUAUAAACUACCUGAAAUGGAUACACAACAACCAAAAAAUACAAGAAUAAAUAAUACUAAAGGAUAAAAACAAAUUGAAAAUACAAAGAAAAUAGAAAUGGCUAGAUUAACAAAGAAAAACAUAAAUUCAAUCUAGUUCACACAAAAAUGUUUGUCCCCAGCAACGGCACCAAAAACUUGAUAGGCUUUUUAUGUAGCUACAAUCUAAGGCAGUGAACCUAUCGAUGUAGACUAGCAUAAAUGGUGAGUAUCAAGGUCGUAUUCUCGGGAAAGGGUGAUCCUAGACCUACUGUAGCAUCUUAUGUUAUCUAACUUAAACAAAUCAAUGAAGUGUUAUGCUAUGAUUAAAUAUGAACAAACAAUUAAUUAAAUAUCAAAUAAUCUGAAAGGAUUUAGAAAAACUCUUGAAGGAAAAAGCAAACCCUAGGGGACUUAAGUUAAUUAGAUUUUAGUGAAGAUAAAGAUUAAAUUAAUUAUCAAUUGUAAUUACCCGUGGACGAAAUCUUAACUGAAUUCGAUCUCCUUCUCGAGGUAACCGAAUUCCUAAACCUAAUAACCUAAAGUUGGAAUCUCUUCCUAACCAUCGAUUAUUCGAUUAGCAUUAAGGUUUAACCCGCCUCUAUUAAGCUUUGUUAAUUCUUAAUCCGGCUAGUCAAUUACCCUUAUAUCUAAGUGAUUAUUAACCAAUUCUUGCUAUUCAAAUUUCCAAUUACUAAAUGAAUUUCUCAAUCACAUAAAGCAAUCUAAAUACCACAAUUCACAAUGUCUCAUGAUUAAAGUGAUUUCUUAUUAAUAAUGAAAGCAAGAAGAAACAAACAUUGAUAAUCAAAAUCUCAUAAAUAUUGAAAUUAAUCCAACAACAUAGGAACCCCAAUUGGGUUUGACAAUUUAGCUACUCAUACUAAUAAGCAACACAAAAUAAAAAAUAGAUUCAGAAAGUAAUUUAAAGGCAUGUACACCCUUCUUCUUGGAUGAGAAACCCUAAAUUCCCAAUUUAGAAUAGUAAACCCUAAUUUACUUCUUAAGUGUUCCCAAAUCUUGUCUUGAUCUUCAAUUUGAUGUUAAAACAUAUAUAAUCCUUCCUUCAAUUGAUGAAAUGAUCUUCUAAGGUCGAGAAUUGAAGUCUAGAAGCAGAUGGUUUAAGCUUGUAUAAUGGAAAUCAAGUCAAAAAAUCGAACCCUAAUUCAGCAAAUCGUUUUUGGCCAUAUAAUCCCUUUAGCACAGCCGUGGUCAAGCUUGUGCUGAUCAGCACAGGCGUAGUCCAAGCUAUGAUGGACCUCUGCGUUCUGCUUCUGUUAACUUCUUCCAGGCCGUGCCCUCGCCGAUGUUGAGCCACCAAGGGCCGUGGUGGAGGCUGUGGUGGCUUCGGAAACUGUGCCAAAAUGGCACUCUUGGAGGGCAGCUACUUGAUAAUUUAGCACGGCCAGAGUCCAGGAUGUGCUCAACCUUGGAAUGCUAGUCCUUGUUUAAUUUGAUGGAUUUUGGUCUGUAAUUGCACGUAUUUCCCUCGAUUAUUGAUAAUUUCCCUCGAUAAUAACCUGAAACAUGAAAGGAACCAAAAGACAGGUGAUUCUAGCAUAAAAUAAGAUAACUAUGCACAAACAUGUAAACAAUUAGGCAUGUAAAUAAUGUAUAAUAUGAUGCCUAUCAAAGGUAUCACAAAUUUCUAAAAAACUCGCUAUAUGCGCGUUAGGAUCCUAAUCUGGCAAGCCUCCAAACUGAACCAUUUGUUGCACCAUCUGAAUCACAUUAGGCUUUAUUUCAAAAUUAUUAGCGGCGAUAGCCGGUCUCAUAAUGCAUGUUUGCGUCCCCUCUAGCGAUGGUUUUGCAAAAUCAUACAUCAUCUAGUUAUUCUCAUUGUUGUCGUUGGUGUCUGCCAUCUCUACUAUAGUGUCUUCCGGUUCACUCUCGUCUACGGCUUUCCAAACCUAAAUUUCUUUCUCCUCUACAUUCAACCGUUUCCUCAACUGCUUGAGUGAUCGCUCUGAUUCUGGUAGAGGGUCUACUAGAUCAGGAUUGGACCUGCUAGUCAUACACUACCUGAAACAACAAAUAACCAAAUGAAUAAAAGAAUAAAAUCAAAUAAAAAAAUAAAGAGAAAGAAUAAAUGGCUAAAUGAACAAGAAAGCACAGUUCAUAAUAUUUCUCAAAACAAUUCCCCGACAACAGCGCCAAAAACUUGAUGUUGGCUAAACACGACUAACAAUCUACAGGCAAGUGCACCUAUCAAAUGUAAUCUAGCUAUGGCAAGUAUCAAUGUCGUAUCCCAUGGGAACUGAGAAGUUAUUGCUACUAUUUAAUUCCUAUUAUCUAAUCGAUCAAAAGGUGGUGAAGAUCAUUAACUAAAAAUGAUUAAGAAUACAAAUGAAAACUAAAUUUUAACAAAGAGAAUGAAAGUUUGAAAAAGACAAUGAGAUGAGUUAAUCUAAUUGGGGAUCCUAUUAGCUAGCCGGCUUAAAAACAAUAAUUUAUGAAUUGAUUCAUUAAGAAUUGCGAUAUGUGGAUAAUUUCUUAAAUGAAUUGGCCUCUCUCUCGAGUUAACCAAUUCUUAAUCCUAAAGAUUUAAAGUUGGAAUCUCUUCCUUACAAUUGGUCUUAGAAUAACAUUAAUCUCUAAAUUACCGCUGAUAAGAAUAUCUAGUUCUUUUUCCAAUAAGUAAUUACAUUUAUCUCUAAGAUGCAAAUCACUUAAUCACACAAGUAGUUGUUCAAACUCAAUUGAAUUUCUCAAUUACAAAGGAGUUCUCAAAUUGAUUCAACAAUGAAGAAGAAAUAAUAGAUUUUAUUACACUUGAAUGAAAACUACAAUCUUAAAUGAACAAUUCAAUCAAUUAAGCAUAGAACAAACCUAGCAUAGCUAAAGAUCACCCCUAAAUUGGUUUAAUAAGAUUAGCUACGCAUGUUUAUGAUUAAACUAAUACAAGAAUCAAAUACAAAGUUAACAAGAAUAAAAAAGAACAUGUACACCAUUUUCUCAAAUGGUGAAAAUGCUAUCCCUUCUUGAAUAAUUAUGAAUCCAAUCUCUGCAGCUCAAGAUCUCCUUCUUCUUUCCUUUGAAUCUUCAAUCCAAUCCUCAAGAACAGCUAAUUGGAUGAUAUUGAAGUAGAAUUCAUCUCCGUUUUCCUCUUCUUGAUCGUUUGGAAGGUUUCUCUCAAAGUCUAUCUUGAAAACUCCAAAGUUCUUUCUUUCCAAAUUCCCUCUUUGUUUCUUUUUCCUUUCUUUUAAAUCAGGGUUCGGAUCCAACACGGCUUGGAUUUGGGCCGUGCUAACCAGUAUGGCCUGGAUCCAUGCCUUGGUGGGCUAAAUUAUAUAUAUGUCCUUCUUUCAGCAUGGCUUGGAUUUAGGCUGUGCUGCUUAGCACGGGCAUGCUCUUAGGCCGUGUUACUAUCGGGAACCAUAUUGCCAAUUAUUUUUUCUCGCCAUGGGUAAGAAAUUUCAGCAUAUGCCCUCUGACCCUAACCGUGCUUCUCAGCACAGGCGUGUUGGCAGGAAGUGUUCAACAGUCUAACGCGCCUGAUUCGUCUAUUUUUUCUCAAUUUUGGUCUGAUUUCUCUCUAACUUUGAUGAUGUCCCUCGAAAAAUACCUGAGACAUAAAGGAAACUAAAACCGAGUGAUUCUAAUACAAAAGCAUAUAAUUUUUCCUAAAAAUAACUCAAAAUCAAGCAUGCAAACAUGUGUAAUAUCAAGGACAAAUCACCCCACACUUAAGCUUUUCCUUGUCCUCAAGCAAUCAACAAUUUAGAUUAUAAACAUGCAAUCAACCCUCCUUAAAAUUUAUGCAUUGGAUUACAAUUAAGCAACAUUAAUCUAUCCCAAAUUGAAACUCAACCAAAAACUAAACUAGCAAUCUAAAUAAGAGCAAUUAUCAUGUUAGUGUAUAGAAAUUAAAUAAUACAUUUAACAUCAAAUAUUCAAGAAACCAUAUGCCUUACAAGGGAUCGCUUUAUGCAUUCAGUGUCUAAAAGAUAGUCAUCAAUCCCUUAAAGCAAUUAUAUUUAACUUCCUUACCAUAAGCUUGCUCAUAAUUCCCAUCUCCACUACUACAAACAAUCAAAUAUCACAAUCGAAUAGUCUUCACAAGGGUUUUAAUGGGGCUUAGGUUUAGGAAUGGAAAUUUGGAAGUGAGAUGUAAUAAUUUCUAGACUUUUGUAAUACCUUACCCAUAAUUUCAGCUCAAAAAGGACUAAAUGCCAAAAAAAUUAUAAUUAAAUUAACUAUAGUUCCCAAGUCUCUAGAACAAGAUGCUCAAAAAGUAAAAAAUGAAUGAAUACUCAAUAAAGAAUUGUUUUUUAAAGAAGAAACAAUAGAACAUAAUUACUUUGGAUUGAAGGAAGCAUCUAAACCAACUUUUUAAAGGACUUAGUGAAUUCAAAGUACAAAUAAAAUCAGUAUUUUAUCCAACAACUCAAUGAACACAUUGCAAAAAUUCUAGAAAUAGGGUAGUGAUCAACAAACGAAAGGCUUAACAAAGUCUAAUGAUAAAGCAAAAUGGUAAAAAUGAAGAAAGUAGAUAGGCUCAAACUUGGCUAACUGAUGUGAAAAAGGAAUAGGACCGUUUUGGAAUGAGUUUGAGUAUUUUGAAUUGUAGGGAACAAAUUAAAGAACAAGGAUUUCAUAAAGUAAGAGGAAAAGGGCGUGUAAACACAAAGUAAAACACUCAGAAUAAUUUCAUAAAGAAAUCAGAUUUUGUUUUCAACUCUCAAUGCCUAUAACACUUGGCCAUGAAUUCUAUUUAUACUCAACCACUAGAAGAGUUACAUGACAUAGAUGAACUCUUCAACUUCCUCCUAAAAACUUACCAGCCACAAGGAUUAACAUUCCCUUGUAACAUCCUUAAUUAAACAACAAAUAAAAGUGCUAAAUAAAGAGAAUCUUUGUAACAGCUAUUAAAGGCUGAUUACAAAGGUUUUAUUACACACUUAAAACUGAAAUGCCAAUAACAAAUUAAAUAAGGAAUAACUCCAAAAACGUCCACCUUUAUGAACAGCAAAAACUGAACAUAAUGAGCAGCAAAUAUUCCCCUUUUCAAGCCUUUAUUCAACCAUCCAAUUAAGGCAAGUGAUAAAGGUUUGUUUUGAUGAGAAUCCCAUGAAAUAUUCUGAUAUUUGCUUAGCAUUUUCAUGCACUAGCAAGGCAUGGACCGUAGCAUUAUUAUCUUGCACUUGAGCUGUGUGAUGGACCUCUUGUUGGACUAAUUCCAUAUCAUUCUCCCCCUCUUUGAAAAAGUUUAUCCUCAAACUUUCAUUAUCAAGGUAUGGAGUUAAAUCCCCCACAUUGAAAGUUGCACUUACACCACCAUACUCACUUGGAAGUUCAAGUUUGUAAGCACUUUCUCCAAUCUUUUCUAACACACAAAAUGGACCAUCUGACCUAGGCAUGAGUUUGUUUUUCCUAAGAUUAGGAAAACGUUCCUUCCUCUGUAACCACACUAGAUCACCCUUAGCAAAGGUAGGCUGUUUUCUUCUCUUGUUAGGUCUUGCCUUGUAAACUACAUUCAUUGCUCCAAUUUUCUCCUUAACUUGAGUACAUGUUUUCUGAAAUGUUUCCCAUCUUUUCUUUGAAUCAACAUGGACUAAGUCCUUUCUUGGCAAUGGAAUAAGUUCAACAGGAAGAAGAGGAUUAACCCCAUAGACCACCUCAAAAAGAGCACGACUUGUAAUUGAAGAAGGUGAUCUAUUAUAGGCAAAUUCAGCAUGUACCAACUUGAUAUCCCAAUCUUUUUGUGUUUUACUCACAAGUCCACGCAACAAAGAUCUAAGUGUUCUAUUAGUCACUUCUGUUUGGCCAUCAGUUUGAGGAUGAUUAGAAGUACUAAAAAGAAGCUUAGUACCUACCAACUUCCAUAAAAUUCUCCAAAAGUGACUUAGGAAUUUAGAAUCCCUAUCUGAAACAAUUGAUCUUGGAACACCAUGCAAACGAAUGAUCUCACGAAAAUACAAGUCAGCAAUUUUGGAUGCAUCAUCCAUCUUAUGGCACGCAACAAAGUGAGCCAUCUUUGAAAAUCGAUCAACCACCACCAUGAUGCUAUCCUUUCCCUUUCGAGUCUUUGGAAGCCCCACAAUAAAGUCCAUACUUACACUUUCCCAAGGGGCAUCAGGGACGGAUAAGGGAUGGUAGAGACCUUUAUGGAAGGUACUCUUGGACUUUUGACAAGUAGAACAUCUCUCCACCACAUGAGUCACGUCUUUUAUCAUGUGUGGCCAAUAAAAGUGUUCAUUGAGUAUGUCCAUGGUCUUGUGAACACCAAAGUGACCAGCAAUUCCACCUCCAUGGACUUCCCUAAUCAAAAGCUCACAAACACCACACUUAGGGACACAAAGUUUGUUCCCUUUAAAUAAGAAACCAUCUUGAACUAUGAACUCCUGAGUAGGCUUUUGAAAUACAGUAGCAAAGUGUUCAUCAUUCUCAUAUAGACCUUUUAAAUGUUCAAAGCCUAGAACUUGAGUAUGGACAGUAUCAAGUAGGUAACGUCUCCUUGGGAGAGCAUCCGCAACAACAUUGUUCCUUCCCUCCUUAUACUUCGAAUGGAAAUUGAAAGAUUGCAAGAACUCUACCCACUUGGCAUGUCGAUGAUUCAGCUUUUUUUGGCCAUGUAUGUACUUCAAGGCCUCAUGAUUCGAAUGAAGAACAAAAGGUCUUGGCCUUAGAUAGUGAGACCAAUGUUCUAAAGCUCUAACAAUCGUAUAGAACUCACUAUCAUAGUUGGAAUAAUUUAGCUUGGCUCCACUUAGUUUCUCAUUAAAGUAGCAAACUGGAUGCUUCUCUUGAAUAAGGACAGCUCCAAUACCUACGCCGCUUGCAUCACAUUCCACUUCAAAAAGCUUGACAAAAUUUGGAAGAGCAAGGAUGGGUGUAUUGCAUAAUUUUGUUUUGACUUCUUCAAAGGAUUUUUGGGCCGCUUCACUCCAUUUGAACUCUCAUUUCUUCAUUAACUCCGUCAUCGGGGCUGUAAUUAUUGAGAAGUUCUUGAUGAAGAUUCUAUAGAAAGAAGCCAGGCCAUGAAAGCUCCUAACUUCAUGAACAUCCCUUGGAACUAACCAUGUGGAAAUGGCCUUCACUUUCUCCGGAUCAACCUGUAUCCCUUCACUAGAAACAAUGUAUCCUAGGAAAGAAAUACUAUUACACAUGAAAAUACAUUUUUCCAUUUUUCCAUACAACUUGUGAGUUCUCAAUUUUUCAAAUAAAUCUCUCAAAUGCAACAUAUGCUCACUUUUAGAUUUGUUAUAUACUAAAAUAUCGUCUAAGUAUACAACAAUGAACUUAUUGAGAAAAGGUCGAAGUACCUCAUUCAUAAGUCUCAUGAACGAACUAGGGGCAUUGCAAAGUCCAAAUGGCAUGACAAGCCACUCAUACAACCCUUGUUUCAUUUUGAAAGCUGUCUUCCAUUCAUCACCUUCUCGAAUUCUCAAUUGAUGGUAGCCACUCCUCAAAUCAAUCUUGCUGAAAAUUUUGGCACCACUAAAUUCAUCAAGCAUAUCUUGGAGCCUAGGCAUAGGAAACCGAUAUUUGAUAGUUAUGUUGUUGAUUGCACGACUAUCAAUACAAAUUCUCCAUGUUCCUUUUUUCUUAGGCACUAAAAGAGCCGGAACAGCACAUGGACUAAGGCUCUCACGCACAUAACCUUUCUCCAUUAGUUCUUCCACUUGCCUUUGCAACUCUUUAGCUUGCUCGGGAUUGCACCUAUAGGCUGCUUUGUUAGGCAAUGGGGCUCCCGGGAUUAAGUCAAUUUCAUGCUCAAUCCCAUGAAAAGGUGGCAGUCCUUUCGGUCAAUCACUAAGAAAUACAUCAGAAAAUUCUUCAAGCAAAUGACUCAAAGACAAAGAGUUAGUGGCAUAGGAACAACAUUAGAAAUGGGUUUAAUAAUAAGUACAAACCCUUCUCCCUCCAUUGCACACUCUUUUUCAAACUCUUUCCUCGAAAUCAGAAAAUUAGGCCUUCUUUCCACCAUAGGUUCAACCUUAGGAGGCAAAGGUAACAACCUAAUCUUCUUUCCACCUGUGGUAGUAACCGUAUAUACAUUAGAAACACCAUCAUGUACAACAUUUCUAUCAAAUUGUCAUGGUCUACCAAGCAAAAUAUGACAUGCACUCAUAGGCAAUACAUCACACCAACGUUCAUCAUGAUAAUUGCCAAUUGCAAAUGAAACUAGAGCUUGUUUCUUGACUUUCAAAGCAAUUUCAUUAUUCAACCAAUUCAAUUUGUAAGGCCUAGCAUGAUUCGAAGAGGAAGCUUAAGCUUAAUUACAAGUUCUGUGGAUGCCACAUCCGUGCAUGAUCCUUCAUCAACAAUCACAUCACGUCUUAUCAAGAACCUUGCACCUUGUAUGGAAAAGGUUCUCUCGUUGUUGCAUGUCUUUGAGAGGUUCAGAAUGUAAGACUCUCCUAACAACUCCACAAAGAGGGUUGUCAUUUUCCUUCGCAUCAUACUCCUCAAUAUCUUCAUCGUUACUUUCAGAUUCAUAGCCGUAAGAAUCCUUCUCACAUAGGUGAAUUGUGAGAAUAUUCCUUUUUGGGCAUUCACUAGCAAUAUGCCCACGUUCUUGGCACUUAUAACAAGUCCUCUUGAAUCCUUCUUGCUUAAAACUAGAUUUUCCACCUUGAAACUUUGAAGGAUUAGUAGAAGAAAGUUGUUUAGAAGAGCUAGAAGAAGACUCACUCUUCCCAAAAGGUAUAUAUGGUUUAUAUGGAGUCUUGACGCUACUUGUGUUCGCCUUAGGCUUCUCCUGUUUCACUUGUGCUUCCACCUUCCUAGCUACUGUCACAACUUCAUCAAAAGUAGAAAAGCAUAUAGAUCUACCUCGUGAGAGAUGGAUUUGGACAGCCCUUUAGUGAAACGAGCAAUCUUGAGGGGCUCCUUCUCUUGCAAGUCACACAUCAAGCCUAGCCUCUCAAAUUCAUGAACAUACUCAUCAACACUGAGAUCACCUUGAGUUAGUCAAGUUAGCUUGACAUAUUGAUCUUGCUCAUACUCACGUGGUACCCAACGCCUCUCCAUUUUCUUCUUGAGUUUUUCCCAUGACUCGAUCUUCUUUUUCUCUUCUCUUCGUCUAUUAGCUUUUAGAUUGUCAUACCAAAGCCCAGCAAGCUUUGUUAAUCUAAGGACAACCACCUUACACCUCCUCCUAUCAUCAAAGUCUUCAUAAUCAAAGACACUUUCCAUUCUUCGAACCCAAUCUAAGAAGUUUUCCAGAUCACUUGAGCCAUCAAAUUCAGAAAGUUCCAAUUUGAAACUCCUAUCUUCUUCUUGAAAGUUUCGAUAGGUAGGAUUCCCACCGGAACUUGCUGUGUUCUCCAAGUCUCCAACACGUUCUUCCAUCUUUAAGGAUAGUUCCGUAAUGGCAUCCAUCCUAGCUUCAUGUUUCCUCAAGUCUCCUUGUAGCUCACGAAGUUGCUUCAUGAUAGCAGCCAACAUUUUAGAAUUGGACUGAUUUGUUUCCAUUACAACAGCGUGCAAUUUUAAUCAACCAAGAAAAAUAUCAAACGGACUUCAAAAAUUUUGUAACUUUACAGUCACAAAACUCUCAAAGAGAAAAAAAAUUUAGACUCAAGAAACACUAAAAAAUCUUCAGGAACAAGGGAGAUACGAAUCAAAACUUUCAGACCUGUUUUCAGCAACGUAAUCUGUUUUUUUUUUGUACGAAACUUACACUCUCCAAAGCCUAAGCUCUGAUACCAAUUGAUGUGAAAAAGGAAUAGGACCAUUUUGGAAUGAGUUUAAGUAUAUUGAAUUGUAGGGAACAAAUAAAAGAACAAGGAUAGAACACACAAGUUUGAAACUGAUUCAAGGAUGUGACUGUUUUUUUUUUGUUUUUUUCAGCAGCUACUCUCAAACACUAAGUAGUAAGAGCAAAAGGGCGUGUAAACACAAAGUAAAACACUCAGAAUAAUUUCACAAAGAAAUCAAAUUUUGUUUUCAACUCUCAAUGCUUAUAACACUUGGCCAUGAGUUCUAUUUAUACUCAACCACUAGAAGAGUUACAUGACAUAGAUAAACUCUUCAACUUCCUCCUAAAAACUGACCAGCCAUAAGGAUUAACAUUCCCUUGUAACAUCCCUAAUUAAACAGCAAAUAAAAGUGCUAAAUAAAGAAAAUCUUUGUAACAACUAUUAAAGGCUAAUUACAGAGGUUUAUUACACAUUUAAAACUGAAAUUCCAAUAGCAAAUUAAAUAAGGAAUAACUCCAAAAAUGUCCACCUUUAUGAACAGCAAAAACUGAACAUAAUGAGCAACAAAUAUUCCCUUUUCAAGCCUUUAUUUAACCAUCCAAUUAAGGCAAGUGAUAAAGGUUUGUUUUGAUGAGAAUCCCAUGAAAUAUUAUGAUCUUUGCUUAGCAUUUUCAUGCACUAGUAAGGCAUGGACCGUAGCAUUAUUAUCUUGCACUUGAGCUGUGUGAUGGACCUCUUGUUGGACUGAUUCCAUAUCACUAACUAAUGGGAAACAGUAAUAGGUUGGCUUUUGGCUACAAUAGUGAAUCCUAAUUGCCCUUAUCAUUUCAUAACAUUUAAUUAUUCAUGUGACCUCAACAAGCAUUACCGAGCAAGUUCUAGAAAUAAGAAGAACACAAUGCACACUGAAACAAGAGAAAAAGAAGAAUUUAUGAUGUACACCUAAUUAGGUUCAAAAACUCACAAUUUAAGUGUGUACAUUUGCAUAAGGUUUCCAAAUACUAUCAAUCAAAUCAUCAUUUAAUCAAUUCAUACACAAAACACAACAACUAAUCAAAUUCAAAUUAACUACUUAAAGAAUGGUCAAGAAACACUAUUUUAACCCAGCCAUUAUGAUAAACUAAAAGUUGCUCAAUAAUAUUCUAAAAGCAACAAACAAUAAGGAGAAAAAAUCACAUGCUCAUAAUCAUAACUAUCAAUCUUUUGAAGAUAAACAAAAAGCUACUAAACAUCCUAAGUAUCCUAAAUAUAUACAUCAUAAAUCAUACAAUAAAUAACAAUCGAAAACAUAAAAAAAAAUAAAAAGCCAAAACAAUGGCUUACCCACCCCACGCUUGAAGGACACACUGUCCACAGUGUGUAAAGGAAAAGAGAUAAAUAUGAAAAAAUAUUGCCCUACUCUUCCUGCUGAGCUGGUGGCGGUGGUGGAGGUGGUGGUGCCUUGAUUGCUGGUAAUGGUGGUUGUACUGGAGGUUUGAGUAGGCGUGUUGAAUAGUCUAAUGCGACCGAUUUGUCCGUUUCUUCCAUGUUUUAGUCCGAUUUCUCUCUAACUUUGAUGAUGUCCUUAGAAAAAUACACGAGACACAAAGAAAAGUAAAACAGGGUGAUUCUAAUAUAAAAACACAUAAUUUGCCCUAAAACUAACUCAAAAUCAAGCAUGCAAACAUGUGUAAUAUCAAGGAUAUCAAUAUAUUAGAUAAUAACAAUAAUUAAUUAACUUUAAUCUCUUGAUUUUAUCAGAUAUUCAGUUAAAUGAAUAUCUAAUAAAAUUCAUUUAAAUUUAAAUAAUUUAUUGAUAAUAUCUUUUAAAGGCAUUUUUUAAUUGAUUAAACAUAUAAAAUGACAUCAAAAUUCGGAAAAUAAGCUAAUCAGGACUGUGUAGAGCUAAUCAACACUAUGUAUAGCCGGUUCGGCUAUCCGUAGAGCUCAUUAGCUCAGGGGCCAAAUGUUCUAAUUUUCCUUGCAAUUUAGUCCCUAAACUUUUAAAAAUUGUUAGUUCACCCUGUAAAUUUAAUUUUUUCUAUCAAUUGGAUCCAAAUUGAUAUUAGGAAAGCUAUUUUAGUUCAAUUACUCGCAGCACUAGCUGGGAUUCAUCCGUCCCCGACCUCUCGAGACUUGAGAAAGGCAGUAACUUUUUCAUCAUCGGAUUUUCCAUAAUUCCCUCAAUUAUCCAGAAAAUGAGUGCUAACACCAUCCAUAAAGCAAAAUGAUUGUCUAGUUAGUGAUUGGUUUUUGUAUGUCAUUUAGAGUAAAAUAAAACAAAAAAACCUGUCACUUGCAAUGUAAAAAGAUUCAACUAGUGAUAGGUAUCAACAGUUCUUCACAUAUUCAAAUUCUUCAAAUAUUCUCUAGAACUUGGACCUCUUUGAAAUUUGGUUAUGUGCAAGAGGUAUGUUUAUCAUAGUUGAUGUGGCUACAUGCUAUUUAUCUAUCGUAAUAACAUUGGUUGAAUUAGUAGAGGCAAUUGAUUCUCGUGUUCAUUCAGCUGCUGAUAUCUGAGCCACAAAAUGAUUCCCAUCAUUCAACUGCUGAUAUUUGAGUUUGUCUUUGACUCUAACCGCAUGGCACUUACUAAAGGAGAUCCACCUAUUUUAAGCCUGAAGCUCAAAAUUUGCUAUGAGAUGGGUUGCUUUCAAUGAUCUCAAGUUCCAUUUGCUUUUGUACAACCCUUUAAUAUUCUCUAUGGACAAAACUCUCAACUUGUGCUAGUCUUUCACUCAUUAGCAUAGUCUGAAAGUCAUCAUAAUCAAUCCAGUAUUCAAAAACAUUAACUUAAAUGAAUUAACAAUCAAUAUCCGUUGCACUAAGUACUUAGAUUCAUAAUUAUUUUUCUUGUCACUUCAUCAAUAAGCAGUCCAUAUCUAGUAAGUGUGUUUAUCUUUGAUUUUUGAAAUUUGGUAGUUUAAUGUUGUUACUUUCCUUGCCUAGCUUUUGCUUUUACUAAUGUAGCAACUACAAGUCCUUUUGCUGCUAAUGCUUUUCCCGCUUUCAAAAUCCUAAUACCUUGCUGAAAGUUAGUACAAAAUAUAAUGUUAAUAUAGAACAUAAGUCUUUAACUUAAAAAACAUUUUUAAUUACCAUCAAUGCCUUAGUGAAAUUCCAUAAAUACCAAAGAAAGGUGGUGAAUUGGUGCUUUUAAGAAGAGAAUGAGAGAUUAAAAUUUGAUUAUAAAAAAUGAAUUAAGUAUAUAAGGAGCAAUAUGUGAUGGUUUUUUAAAGAGAGAAAGAGUUGAACACUUGAUUUAUAGAGAUUCGACACUUAAAGCCUACAUCCUCUCCUCAAUUGCAAUUAAGAAUUCAAUGCACUAAUCAAUUUACAUAUGGUGUAGAUUAAAUCCUUAUAUUUUUCAAGCUUACACAUAAUUUACAUAAGUGUUUUACACUAGGCUCAUACUCAAACCUUAAUUAGUAAUCAAUAUUGUAUAACAACCCUAAAAACACAAAGAAAUUGAAUGCAAAAGGUUGAGUAAUUAAUUCUGCGAGAGUUUGGCCCUAAUUGUUAUUGUCCUUAUAUCAUAUAUGGCCUCUAUAAGGAAUAUUAAUACUGUAUCCCCUCCAUAUGAUUAUUACUAUUAUGUUAUAGACUAAAAAUCUUCUCCAAAAACUUUACAAUCUACAUUAGAUUCACUUAAUCACAGUUAAGAAUCCAACUUCACAAUCGAGAUUUCCUAUCGAAGUCGAGACAUAAAUUUCUCGAUCGCGAAAUGUGAUAGUCUAACGGUUAGUGACACAUCGCUUUCCCCCAUUGGGCCAUCAAGUGGCCGUUAGCGGUUUGCUGACUGAAAAAUGAAUCGUGGUCAUUACUCCACUAUCACGCUCAUAAUGAUCCUAUUAUGUUCAUUUGUCAUGGUCAUGAGGAAGGCCACGAUCUCCACUAUAACUUCUAAGGUACAUGGUCCUUGAUCUCAUUGCGGUCGUUAUAAGAGAACAUGAGCGCGAUGAGCUUAUUAGGUCAUACUUCACUUCUCAUGGUUGUGACUCUAGUUACGAAAUCUUCUAGAGUUCUGAUCUCACUUUAUCACAAUUGUGAGAAUGAGAUAGUAAUUGCGAAAAUCUCUAUUUUAGUCGCGACAUGGUUGUCUUGGGCGUGAUGUAUGCAGCAACUUUGUGUACUUAUAAUUUUUCUAUGUAUAAAUAUUCUCAACCUUCAUGGACUUGAUUUCUAUAAGAAAAGAAAAAACUUGAUAAAAAUAUUAUUGCCUUUUAAUUUAAUUGUCAAUAUUAAGAUAAAGAUUUACUAGUUGUAGAACCAACUCAGAUCAAUGAUCUCCCUCUUUUUUUAUUUUUAUGACUAAAUUAAGCAAAAUAAAAAUUAAGUGCUUUAGGAAUUCGAAUUCAAUAUUAAACAAAGCCCUCUAAACUUAUGGCUCAUUUUAUAUGUUUGACUAUGUGUAAAUUAGGUCAAUUAUCUAUUUCAAUUAAGUUCAAUUGAAUUUUUUUCGCUCUCUCUUUAUCAAUAUUAGAAAGAAGAAAAGAGUAUAAACUGGGGUUUUUAUUUUAUUUUAGGGCGUUUGAAAAUAAUUGUCAUUUUUUAGGAUGGUCAAAAUUCAUGUUUUGGAGUAGUGAAGCCAUUGAGUAGAAGAAGAAAAAAAGAUAUAGUUGUCCGCUUGAAGGACUAGAGGACAAUUCUAUCCGUAGUCUUUCAGGCAGACAACUUUUUUUUUUCUUCAAAAAAUCAAUUCUCUAAUUAUGGUGGAAUUAUGUGUGCAGCUGCUAAAUACAUGCAUGCAACUUGUUGCACACCUAAAUUAACUUUAUAAAAAGAAUUACAACUCAAGUUUUACACCCGUGAAGUUCUUCUGUAAAGUAAGAUGACAACUCUUCCCUCACAUAUCAAUUCGGCCAAACCUUUCUUCCUUUUUCUUUAUUUCUUUCUUUCUUUUGGUGAACUUCAACACUUUGCCUUUCUUUAUUUUAAAAAAUAUUAGUGCAAUAUUUUCUUUUUUACAUUAAAAAAAUACUACUUGUGAGUACAAUAUUUUUUAUUAAUUUUUGUGUUAUUACUUCUUUGCUUUAUAUAUUUUUGAUGCAUUAUUAUAUAAUAAUUUUUAUAAUUUUGUAGGUAUUAUUAGAGUUCUAUAAGAAAUCAUAGGUAAGGACUUUUACCUCUAAUUUUUUAGGUUAUUUUUUGUGUUAUUAUUUUUUCACUUUAUCUGUUCUGUGUAUUACUAUAUAAUAAUAUUUAUAAUUUCUUUUACAUUUUGUUGAGUUUUAUAGUUUUCUUUUUAAUUUCUAUUGGAGUAAAAUUUUCUUUUAAGUAUGAUACUUUUAAUAUUUGUAAAAAAGAUUAUGCAUUAUUUUUUAAUAUAAAUCAAUAAAAAGAAUUAUGUAUAACUAGAAAAUUUUGUAAGCACGGUAAUAUUUAUAAUUUGUGUAGAAAUAUUUUUUAGUAUUGUUAUUAUAUAAUAAUUCUUAGAUAUAAAUGAGCAAUAAUUAUGUAAGUGUAUAAUUUCUGUAAUAAUUUUUUAAAAUAAUUAUGUAAUGAUACUUAUAAUUUUUGUUGGUUUUUGUUGAGUUUUAAAAGAAAUCUUCAUAUUAGGCAACUCAAAAAUUUAUAAAUACACACAUAUAUAUAGUAUGAUAUUUAGAUAUUAUGUUACAUUUAAUAGUUUUAUGUUAUUUAUAAUAUAUGGUGGCUAUAUUAAUAAUGUCCAAUGAUAUUUUGAAUAUCAUUUGUACUGCAUGAGUAGUUUAUUUUGUGUUUAAAAAUUAUAUAGUAAAAGUUUAGUUAAUAUUAAAUAAAAAAAAUUACAUUAGAAAGAAUUAUUCUACCUUAAAUCAUAUUAGAAUUAUGAGUAUACUGAAAUUUCUAUUUGUUGUAAUUAAUUAAACAUGAAGUUUGAGGGUCAAAAUGAUGAUUUCUACAAGUUCAAGGACUAAAUUGAAAAUAUUUUUAGAAUUUUUUCUCUUAGAGCUAAUCAGCUCUGCAUAGAGCCGAUUGGCUUUGUGCAGGGUCGACCGGCUCUACACAGUGUUGAUUCGUGGUUUUCUUGGUCCAUUGUUUUUUAGCAUUUUAACGUCCAAAAUGACUUUUUAGAAGGAUUUUGUUGAUAAAUAUUGGAUUUAUUUGAUUUUAUCAAAGAUAAUCUCUAAAAUAUAAAAUAUAUCAAUCUAUUCUUAGGGUUUUCCAAACCCUAGCUCUAUUAAUACACACUUAACUCUUAAGUUUAGUGGGAAGAUUUUAAGCUAUGAGUAGUCGAUAUACUUUUUGAGAGAAAAAGAUAUAAAGAGUUGAAACACUAAGGAAGAACCAAUGAAUUAGAAAGUUUUAAAAGAGAAAUACAUAAGCUUUUUCAUAUCCCAAGUAGCACUAGAUCCAUAACCGGUCUUUGAUUCAACUGCAUAAUCGUCUUCUGAGACUCGCAGAACAACCAACUAUAGUGACAACCUGAGGGUUCCUCCACAUCCACCAUCAUAGAUUUUAUUCUUAUUAAUUUAUGUGUUUUAUGUGAUUAGAAUAGGUUUUUUUUUAUGAUUACAUUGCUGGGAAUUGAAUCUGAUAGUAAGAACAUUGUUGGAAAUUGAAUUUGAUAAUAAGAACAUGUAGGAUUUUGAUUGUGUUCCCCUUUAAUGAUUGGUAACAUGAUUAGGUUUUAGAUUUGAUCCAUAAUUCUUUCAUAUGUUUUAGUUAAAUGUUUUAGGAUCACAUGAUCAAAAUAUGAUAUUUUUCCCUUUUCUUGUUUACUGUUAGUUUAAGUAUUUUAGGGUUUGCAUGUCCUAGGGUUUCUAUUCCAUUUAUGUUCUUUUUAUGUUUUUUAUUUAGUUUUUCCAUGUUUUAAUUGAUCUCACGUUUCUUGUGCAUGUGUGAUUAGCUCCAAGGCAUCAAAUCGAGGGAAGAAUUGUCAAAAAUCUCCUGCCAAAGCCCUAGAGCCGAUUCGGCUCUAUACCCAUAGCCGAUCGGCUGAGUACCCCAAAUCCUUAGAUUUCGACCAUUUAUGGUGUUUUUCUUUCUCUUUUUAGUUGUAGGCGGGUUGUAAUAGCUAAUCUUACCUUCUCCACUUUAUUUUUCAAUUUUUUUUUACUGCAGGAUCAAAUAAAUAUAACAUGAUUGAUCAACUAAAUGGGCCACAUAGACGUAAACCUUAAAACUAGACCUUAGCAUGAAAAUUAUAGCCUCUUAGCUUAACAAAGAUGGUAAUCAGGCCUUAAUCUAAAAUUCAUGCAGACUUAGUGGGCUUUGCUAUGCUUAAUUAGGUUAAAAUUAGGCCAUAUUAGAUUUAGGGUCAUUAAAUUAGGCCUCUAUAUAAAAAGUAGUUAAUUAGGCUUAAAAGCUUGGUUAUUAAAGCAUAAUUUAUAAUUGGGCUAGUCUAGGUGAGCCUUGUAUAUAAUUAACUAGUAAAUUAUGUUAAUAACUUUAAGUAUUAGGUUGGGCUUUAAUAAAAAGGACUAGACUUAUGUGGACUUCACAUGCUGUAGUGCUUGAUGUGUAGAAAUAUUAUGUUGUAUUUAUAGGAAAUAGCCUGUUAAAUACUAAAAUUAAGGAAAAAUAUACACAAAUAAGGAAGUUGGCUUUCGGGUCCAUGUCUAGAUUUCUGACGUAAGCUUCCUUAUGGAAUCAAUAAACAAAUGUCUUGAUUAUGCGAGCGACUCCCAUCUCCGCGCUAGUCUCUGUGACUAGUUAAUGCGUUUCCAAUUAGGUCGAAAAGCCUUGAAGUGCUAUAAUCGCUAACACUUGAGUGCGCGUCCGAAACCGCAGCCCAAAGUGGCUACUACGCUAGGGAUAAGAGAAGUUGAUUCCAGUGUAUGUUUGUCUUUAAUUUUAUUAUUUAACAGGUGAUUCCUGCAUCAUUACACCAUUAUCACAUAUUGUGAACAUUGGUCCCUAUAGCCUGAUCGCGUUGGUUAAUGGUUCUUUGGUUCCACUCACACCCUAGAAUUGUAACACUGGCUAACCAUCACUCACAAGUAAUGAGUGGAUUUCCUUUGUUGCAUGAACCUUAAGUGGGGAGACGAGCUAAGGAAGAGCACUUCUUACUUGUGGGAUCCUUUUAUCCUUAUCCAAGACUCAGCUCAAGGUAAUGACAGUAGCAAUCUCCCUUAGGAAUCCUUAUUACUUAAUGUUCCUCAUUAUAAGUACUUAAGCCGAACUACUGAAAAGCCUUGGCCCAAAGACAUGUGGAAUCAGGCCUCGGGCAUAAAAUAUACAGUCUUUGUACUUAUAUUGAGAGACAUUGCCUUGUUUGUUUUAAAUAUGCUUUGAGAGCUUAUGGCAUGCAUGUGUGGACCUACUAUCGCUUGUUAAUAGAAAGCCCAUACCUAAAAACCUAGGGAAGAAAAGACCUACCUUGAACCGUGUGCGGGAGUAAUAAGGUUAGAAUGAUGAUUUGUAUAUUAAUGUGUGUGCUAACAUAUUUUUCUUUUAUUUUCGUGCAUAUCAUGUGCAUUAUGCAUCACAUGCAUCACACUGACCCCUUAAUUUUUAGCCAUAUAGAUUCUCCUUUGGGUUGGCAGAGGCAAGAUAAUGGGAGGCUGGAAAGGGUACCCAUUUCUCUAAGGAUCUGAAUUGUAUUAGAGCUUCUUGAAAGACUCAGGCGCCAAGCUACCACCGAAGCUACAUCUGAAAUGGCCAACGAAAGAGCUAACGGGCAAGACGCAAAGAUCCUCAAGAAUGUCAUCAUUGAUGAUCUGAGGAGUGUGAUUUGGGAAGAACUCUUAUAGCUUUUAGUGGGGAUGGUUACAAACCAAGCCCCACCUGUUGCUCUAGUUGCAUUGACUAAUUCCCUUACUGCCAAUGACCUAGUUGUAGUUAUAACUGAGACUACUGCUGCAACUGCUACCGCUACUAUUGCUGCUGCUAAUGAUAAUACUAAAGACCUGGCUAGAAGAGGAAUGCCUCGGAAUUUUUAGGAUUUUGACGAAUAUGUGUUGGACCAAUCUAAAAGGGAAAUAACCAUUACCAUUGAUGAAGCUGUAAGUGGCUUAAUUGCUAAGCUUAAUAAGAUGCAAGACAUGCUGGAAAUUAUAGGGUUGGACCCAACCUAUGAUUUCGAGGAGUUAGUGUUGACUGGUGAGGUUAUCUCGGCUAUCUAGGGAAUUUUAAAGCAAAUGGAAUCUUAAGAGAAAAGGCUUAUAAAAACUUAUAAGUUGCCUCAACUUAUACACUUUGAUGUAAGAAAAAUUUAAGAGAAGCAAGGCGUUCAACCUUGUCAUCUUGAAGAUUGGAAAUCAAGUGAGAAUGAGAAAGAUGAUGAAAAUGAUGAACACUAGAUUCUAAGUGCCAAAUAUUUUUCUAUGCUUUGUUUUAAAAUUUCAUUCUUACAUUACAUCUUUAGCACUUUACUUUUUUAUCAUAUAUAUGUCCAUAUUCUCUCUAUAAUGUUUCUUUGUAUGAUGAAAGUUUUAUCUUUAUUUUAAGUCUUCAUCAUUAUAUUCUUUCUUCACGUUAUAUUCUUUGUUAUCUUUAUAAAGGGGCAGAAAUAAGACAAAAAUGAAAGCAGAAAAUGGUUAUUCAAUUAUCUUAUUAAGGGGGAGGAUAAUUAAAAAUUAUUUGGAAUCAAUUUGUCAUUAUUUUGUUUAUGAUUUAAGGGGGAGAAUAUUGAAAAUCAUUGUCUUUAUACUUUAUUUUUGCUCAAUAUAAUUGUCAAAAUAAAAAAAAAAGGAGUGAUUGUUAGCAUAAGUCACUUUAUGAACUUAAAUACCCUGAAUUUUUUUAUCUUCAAAAUCAAAUUGAGUAGCAAUAGUCAUAUCUUUUUAGUGUCUUUUGUAGGUUUCUUACUUAAUCAAAAGCCUAGAUUUCAUUUAUGUCCUCUAAAUCAUGACCGCUAUAUAAGGAUCACCAUCGUGAAACUAAAAUAUCUCAUAGUCGUUGAAGCAGAGAUGCAAUCGUUAUUGCAAUAAGCUUAAAUUUCAUUAUAGAGAACAUCGUGACCCUCAACGUCUACUGCAACAUUGAAAGUGAUAAAAAUCUUUAAAAAUGAGUAAUGGUUUUUUUAGUAGGUUGGGGCUAUAAAUACCCCUUUAAAGACUAUUGAAUAAUGAUAAACAACCACGCAUAACUCAAUUUAUUAGUAUUUCAAUUCUCACCUUUAUGUGUCAUUUUUAUCUUUAUAAAAGGUUGUUGUAAAGGUUUAAAUGGUAACCUUAGCACUUGGUUGGAUUGGAGAGUUAGCUAGUGAGAUAAAAACUCUUGUAAAGGGUUUGAGUGUGAGCCUAAAAAUACUAAGAAAAAGGUUUGAGAGUUAGCCUAAAUAGAAAAAAUCUCGUGAGGUUUAAUAUGACACUAAGUUUAGGAGUGAGUUUGGAAAAACUCCUAGUGAAUAAGUUUAAGGGCGAGCUUGAAAAAUACUUAGAUUUGAUCUUACACUUGUAAAAUGAUCAUUGAUAAUGAAAUACCCAAUUAUAGAUUAGGGAGUUGUAGGGAUGGUUAAUAUCUGAAUCAUUAUAAAUGUUUGUGUUAGUUCUUUUGCCUCUCUAUUUAAACUUGAUUGAAAUUUUUAAUUGCCUAUUAACAUUUUAAAUACCAAUUCAACUCCCACUUUAGCGCAUUAAGAGAAAACACGUUUGAUUUCUUCAUUGUAAUAUAUUACAUGAUGGUUUAUUUCAUGAGAUCGGUUUGAUUAUGAAGGGAUUUGUUUUCUAUAACUCCUAAUGGUUUCUGGAUACUAAUUGCAUGCUUGAUCGAUUGUUAUAGUUCUUAUAAACCUUUUUUUUGUGUUAAAAGGCAUUUUUUUCCUUUUAUUUAAAUUUCUUUCAAUUUUGUUUUGCUUUAGUGUUAAGGAAUUUUUUUUUUAUUUUAAUUUCUUUUAAUUUUUUUGUUUAGUGUUAAAGAACUCUGUUUCUUUUAUUUAAUUUCUUAAGAUUGAAUACUUACCUUUUUAUGUCUUUUAUUUUGCAGAUGAAUCUGUUUGUGUUCUCUUAUAUUUGGGCUAUGGUGUUUAUGGGUCUUCGUUUAUUGCAUGACAUCUAUGUUGAAAUAUUUCUAACUCGCUAUUUUUUUUUUAAAUUAUCGCAUGUGUUGCAAAAUAUGCAAGGUGGGUACUGUGGUGAUCUUUUCUCUUCUUCUUUUUUCCAGAAAAAAAGCCCUUCCUUUUUUCUUCCCUUUGUUGCCAAAAUAUAAGAUGCUUUGUAUUGGAAUCUUGAUAAUAAUUUUUUUUAUUUUAUUUUGGGUGUGAGGAUAAUGCUAGCGUGAUUAAUUGUUUGAUUUGUCAAAGGGAUGUUAACUUACUAUAUAUAUAUAAUUUUUUUUUCUUCCUCUUGUUUUGUAUUUGUCAUUAGAACAAUUUAUGUAUCUUUUUGCAAUUGCAGUGUUUCUCAUGUCUGUUGCAUGAUAAACUUCUUAGUUUUUCAUGUGAUUGCAUAUUUAUUUUUAAAUUUUGGGUCGGUCCUUUGUUCUUUCAAUGGGAUUUUUGUUUAACUUGAGAUGGUAAAAACCUAUGAUAAGAAAAAAGGCUUAGAUUGCUAAUUUUCUUAUCUAAAAUGAUAUGUUAUGGAUAACUUCUUUACCUUUUUGAAAUUAUUUGUUAGGCCUAGUUUUAAUUGUACAUAAUUCUAGAAUGCUAAUCAUGACCUACUCUGUCCUAUGACCUAUUUUUUAACCUAGUUAUAUAAUGUCGUCAUUAACCUUAAUUGCAUUUUAUUCCAAUUUUCAAUGUUUACCAUUUCACUUUCUAUCUCGUGGUAUAUAUACAUCAACUUGCAUGCGCCAAAAGAUGCUUUUUCUCAUAUAACCUCAUACGUGUGUGUUGUCACGAGCUUGGUCUUUCUACCAUCGAACCGUGCGGCACUAGUUACUUUCUAUCUGCAGACAAGUAAGUUAGUCAGUCUUAUUCUUCGAAUGCUAGGCAAAAUGCUAAGAUAACAAGAAGAACAAUAGAGAACUUAAGAUAGCUUAGAGAGCUUUUAGAGAGAGAAGUUGCUUGCUCUUCUACUGAACUUUUGCUUUAUUAAGCUUGAUGAUUACAAAUAAAAUCUCUAAUCUAUAUAUAGGCCUCCACCUUCUUAAUGGACGGUGAGGAUACAUUUGAUCUAAUGGCUAAAAUUAAGUAUCUAGAAUGUUCUACACAAAUCACUUUAUCUUCAUUUGUCUUUUGUUUUCUCUCAAAUCCCUUUUCGCUUUUUCUUUGAUUUUUCAUUUGUUUCUUAAUUAAAUCUUACUAGACUGGUCUUGAAAUGGUAGCCUCAUCAUCGAGAUUCUCAAGACGCACUCCGAUCGUACCGAACUAGGAGUUCUCACCACCAAUUUCUCGCCAAAAUGACUUAGGUCUUGUGAAAGGAGAGGAGAUCCCCCUUUUGGCAAAAUUGAACACUCACCGGGCAUAUUUUACCAUUGAAGAGGUAUUUGUCUGGCUUUCAACUUUGUUCCUUGUCACUUAUACACUAGAUAAACGCGUUAUUUGUCCAAAAUAGAUAUAAUUUUAUGGAAAAAGUGCGAAAAAAGAUAUGUCUUAACCCAUAGAGCCGAUCGGCUCUGUGCAAUACUUCCUCAAGCAAAAGAAACUGACUCCGAAGCAAGUAAGAUGGCAAGAAUUCCUUGCGGAGUUUGACUUUAUGAUGGAGUACAAGCCGGAAAAGGAAAACUUAGUGCCCGAUGCACUAAGUAGAAAGGCAGAGUUGGCUUCCAUCACUAGCGCCAACUUUCCUUUGGUGGGUCGUAUCAAGGAGGGACUCGAGCAUGACCCGCAAGCCAAGAAAUUUGGUGGAAUUGGCGAAGAAGGGGAAGACUCGUCAAUUCUGGCUAAAGGAUGGGGUGCUCAUCACCAAGGGAAAUAUAAUCUAUAUGCCGAAAUGGGAAGGCUUGAGGAAGGCCAUCAUCAAAGAGUGCCAUGAUUCAAAAUGGGCGGGCCAUCCAGGCACGCAUCGCACGUUGGCACUUGUGGAGCGUGGAUAUUACUGGCCCCAGAUGCGGGACGACAUUGAGCUUUAUGUCAAGACAUGUCUUGUGUGUCAACAGGAUAAGGUGGAGCAAAACAAGCCCGCUAAUUUGUUAGAGCCAUUACCGAUUCUAUAGAGGCCCUGGGCAAGUAUCUCCAUGGAUUUCAUCACAUGCCUACCGAAGUCUGAAGGAUGUAGCAACAUUAUGGUAGUUGUGGAUCGUUUUAGCAAAUACGGAGUUGUUCAUUCCUGUUCCUAUAAAGUUCAUGGCCGAGGAUGCAGCACGCCUAUAUCUCAAACAUGUGGUGAAAUAUUGGGGCAUAUACCGAAGACCAUUAUCAACGAUCGAGAUACUCGCUUCACUAGAAGGUUUUGGAUGGAAUUAUUCAAGCUUAUGGGGUUUGAGCUUAACUUCUCUAGAAGCUUUCAUCCCCAAACCGAUGGACAAACAGAAAGGGUGAAUGCCUUGCUAGAGUUAUUCUUGAGACAUUAUGUGAGUGCCAACCAAAGUGAUUGGGCAAUGUUGCUCGAUGUGGCCUAAUUCUCAUAUAACUUGUAGAAGAGCGAGUCAACAGGGGCGAGCCCAUUCGAGAUUGCCACGGGACAACAACCAUUGAAUCCAUACACAUUAGCUGUAGGGUAUAAAGGCCCUAGCCCCUGCAGGAUUCAAGUAUGCUAAAGGAUGGCAUGAGAAAGCCGACAUGGCACGCGCUCAUCUAACCAAGGCCGCCAAGAGAAUGAAGAAGUGGGCGGAUGAAAAGAGGAGGCACUUGGAGUUUGAGGAGGGGGACUUAGUGAUGGUAAAGCUCCUUCUCCAUCAAAGCCGAGGGUUUGCUAAGGUGCAUAAAGGACUAGUAAGGCGCUACGAAUUUCCUUUUGUAGUGGAGCAACGAGUUGGGAAGCUAGCGUAUCGCUUGCGUAUAUAAUGAGAACCUCAUCAUUAUAAACUCGCUUUAUAAUUUCUCGUACAUUUAUGUUUACAUUCCAUGGUGUUCAUCUCUAACGGUUCAGAUUAUUUCUUAAUAAUACCCUAUUACUCGUACCAUUAGAGUCGAACAAUUUCUUUAGUAUAAUUGUAUGCCAUCAAUUGUGAUGUAUAAAUUAACACAGAUUGUUUGACAAUUCUUUGUCUUUAGGGCAUACUCUAACACCUCCGAAAGAACCUUUUGUUCUCUUUUUGAGGAGGAACCGUUUAUUGUUCCUUCGGUGGAACCUUUUGUUCUUUUUAUUUUGGAAGAACUGUUUGUUGUUCCUUCGGUGGAACCAUUUAUUCCCUUCUUUAGGAGGAAUUGUUUGUUGCUACUCUGGUGGAACCAUUUGCUCUCUUUUUUGGGAGGAACCAUCUAUUAUUCCUCCGAUGGAACCUUUUAUUUUCUUUUUUGUGAGGAACCAUUUGUUGUUGUUCCGUUGGAACCUUUUGUUCUCUUUUUUGAAUUGUUUAUUAUUCCUCUGAUGGAACCUUUUGUUCUUCUUUUUUAGGAGGAACUGUUUGUUGUUCCUUUAGUGGAACUAUUUCUUCUCUUUUUAAGAAGGAACUGCUUAUCGUUCCUCCGGUGAACCAUUUAGUUUUCUCUUUUGAGAGGAACCAUUUUACUCAAAGACUUUGAAUUUACCAUUGGGGAAUCAUCUCACUUAAAGAUUUUUAUUGAAUGUUCCUUUGGCGAAACCAUCUCACUUCGAGAUUUUUAUUGAAUGCUUCUAUGGUGGAACCAUCUCACUUAAAGAUUUUAUUGAACAUUUUAUUGACGAAAACCAACUGACUUAAAGAUUUUAUUAAAUGUUCCUCUCGCAGAACUAUACCACUAAAAGAUUUUUAUUGAAUGUUCCUCUAGUGAAACCAUCUUCACUUAAAAAAUUUUAUUGAAUAUUCCGUUAGGGAACCAUCUUACUUAGAGAUUUUUAUUGAAUGCUCCAUUGGCAAAACCAUUUCACUUAGAGAUUUUUAUUGAACAUUCCUCUGGCAGAACCAUCUCACUUAGAAAUUUUUAUUAAAAACGGCAAAACCAUUUUACUUAAAGAUUUUUAUUGAAUGCUCCAUUGGGGGAACCAUCUCAUUUAGAGAUUUGUACUGAAAAUUCCUCAGGUGGAACCAUCUCACUUAGAUUUUUUUGAUUGAGCAUUCCUUUGGCGAAACCAAAUCACCUAAAGACUUUUAUUGAACGUUCCUUUAGCAAAAUCAUCUCAUUGAAAGAUUUUUAUUGAAUGUUCCUCUAGCGGAGCCAUCUCAUUUAGAUAUUUUAUUGAAUGUUCCUCUAGCAUAACCAUCUUACUUAGAUAUUUUUAUUGCAUGUUCCUCUAGCGGAACCAUAUAACUUAAAGAAUUUUAUUGAAUGUUCCUCUGGUGGAUCCAAAAUAAGAGUUGCAAGGUUCAUCUCCUUUGUCUUUAUAUUUCCAUUGUCCUUCGAUCUCUUCUAUCUAUUUCUAUCUUGUUCUUCAUUCUUUCCCUUAAUGAAUCUACGAAGUUAUCCAGCCUGGACAAGCCUUUCUAUUUCCUUCUUGAGAUAAUGACAUUCUUCUAUUGUAUGCCCAUAGUCUUCAUGGAAAGCACAAUACUUAUUAAUAUCCCUUUAAUCCUUCUUAGUUCGGUUUAACUCUUGAGGCUAACAACUGUCCUUUUUGUUCUCUUUUACCCAUAUUAGAAUCCUAGAGCGAGAUUCUCAGUGGCAUGUACUCUUGUCUCCCUUCUUCCUUUUUGGAAUUUCUGUCAUUUUCUCUUUUAUAGCCUCUCUUUUCUCUAACACUUUUUUGGUACUUUCUUAAUAUGCUAACUCGUAUUUCAUCAUGGUUCACCCUCAUCCAAAUUCACGUACUUUUGUGCCAUCACCAUUAAUUUCGUUAAUGUUUCCAAAUUUCUAGUAUGCAAUUUGUCAAUUAAUUUUCCCAGGUUAGGAAUACUCUGCAUAAAAUUGCAUCUGUCACAUCUAACAACUACAUCUUGGUUUUAAAUUUUGAUACGUGAGUCAUUGGGUCACUUGUUCCAUCGAAGGAGUCUAUGGUGGGCAGCUUCACUUUGUACAUAAAUUUUUCUUCUAAAAUCGAGUCAAUUAGCGGUGAGCCAUGUUCUACAACUUUUCUAAUUUGAAGUCUAGUUUCUACAUUCAGCUUAAUGCGUCCUCUAUUUCUUCUCUUAUUUCUUUGUUUUUCAUGGUGUCUCCAGUUGAUUUCUUAACCGUCUGACUCCUUUUGAUCUUUAUUGAUUCUAACUCAUUUGCCUCGUCUUCUUCUAUUGAAGAUCUCUGAUCUAAGCUAGUAUGCUUGGUGGACUUAUUGGUUGAUGCCUUUUAUGUUCAGCUCGUGUGGAAGAUCUAUUCUUCUCCAGGAUUGAUUCACUCUUUCCUCUAGUGUUAUCGGCUACAUCUCUCUGCCUUUGUUCUCUAGUUUGCAUUCCGCUGCUAUUCAGUUAAUUCCUUUGAUUUAAAGCAUUUCUAUUCGCUUGUUCUCCUAAAAGCAUUUAUAUUAGUCGAUCUUAGAAUUAUGUCAGCCAUAAAUUAACUUCUCUAUUAAUUACAUCUUGAUACUACGGUUGUAAUGCAGCUAGGGGAUUAUUGUUUAGUGGUAUAAGGGUUCCACUUAGGAAGGCAAUAAGUGUUUUGCUUGGAUCUUGGAACAAUAUCGGUCCUAAAUUUCUUAAUGGUGGAUGUUGUGUGUAGUUUUUUUUUGGAGGGGGGUGGGGUUGUGUAUGGGUAAGGAUGGGAGUAUUGAUAUGGACCAUACAUGUAUGAUGUUUGUUAUGCUCGAGGCAGUUGAUCACAUAUAGGCGGUAUCAUACCUAGUGAUGGUGGUUUUGAAGUGUGGGUGUCUUCAAGAUGAGACAUUAUUUCUUUUAGGAAAGUAAUCAACAUAAUUUAUAUAUAAAAAGCUUUGAAAAUGAUCCCACAAAUGGUGCCAAUUAAUUACUAUCUAAAAAAAUUAAUGUAAUCGAACUGAAUCUUUCAUUCCUCUUGUUGGCAAUAAACAGGGUAAGAGGGAAUAUGAGACUUGAUGUCCAAUAUUCACUUUGACGAGCAAGUUAAUUGAGGUUCAAAUGAGAAUGAAAGAUUAAUAGUGAGAUAUGAUGAUUUGAGUUAGGGUUCACUUGGCUGAACUAAACCCUCUUAGGAUUCAGCAUUUGAGUGUGUGUUUAUAUAUACUAAUAAUGACCAAGUCCUACAAGGGUUCUACUUGUCAUAUCCUCUAACUAUUGUACGAUUCGAUUCUCCUCCUCCAAGUCAAUAAUAUCUUUGUCAUCAAGAUCAAGAUUAAGGAUUUCUAAGUUUAUGAAAUGACUUAGGCUAAUAAUUUUCCCUUUUUGAUUUUGACAAUUAAAUUGAGCAAAAAUAAAGUACAAAGACAAUGAUUUCAAUAUUCUCCCUCUGAAACCAUGAGUAAGAGGAUGACAAAUUGAUUCCAAGUUAGUAUUAAUUAUCCUCCCUCUUGUAAAGAUAAUUGAUUAACCAUUUUUUGCUCCUUUCUCACCCUUUAUCAAGAUAAAAAAGAAUAUAACAUGAAGAAAGAUCGUAAUGAUUAAAGUUUAAAAUAAAGAUUAAACUUUGAUUAAAUAAAGGAACCUUACAGAGAGAACAUGGACAUAUAUCUAAUCAUAAAGUGAAGUGUUAAAGAUGUAAUACAAAAAUGAAAUUUUUAAAUAAAGCAUAGAAAAAGAUUUGGCACUUAGAAUUUAGUCUUCAUUGUCCUCCUCAUUCUUACUUGAUUCCCAAUCUUCAAGAUGACAAGGUUGAAUGUCUUGAUUCUUUAAAGUUUCCCUUACAUCAAAGUGAAGAUGUUGAAGAAACUUAUAAGUCCUUUUAAGUCUUUUCUCUUGAGAUUCUAUUUGUUUCAAAAUUCUCUUUUGAAAUGAAGUUUCAGAAUUUUCUUGAGCCCUUUGCUCAACCACUUAAGAACUUCUCUCUUCUUCUUGAAUAGGAAAUGGCACUCUUUACUGUGGUUAGCACCAAAUCUUUUCAAAUUAAGAUUUUUAUAAGUCUGAUGAUGAGAUAUUUUAGUUGGUGGAAUGCUUUGAAUGAAUAUUGCAUGUUAAAGCCUUGGAACCCAAAAAACCACACUUCAGCAAAGUUGCCAGACUGACCUCAUACACGUUAAGUCUAACCUCACACUAGCUCAGGCUAAGACAUCUCGACUGACCUCACACACAUUCAAGCUAUGCUCAAGCUAGCUCAACCUUACCCAGUGCUCGUUCAGGCUAGGGCAGGGCCUCUACAGCUUUAUGUCAUGUCAUUUCAAGAUAAAUAUUUAUCAAAUGACAUGGUGUCAUCCUGGCCUUCUAAUCUCUAACCUUAAAACACAUCAUAACCCUUUAUUUUAGACCCUAGAAACCUAUAUAAACUCAUCUUUAUCUUUUCUUUUUCUCUCUAAUCUCUAAUCUCUAAUCUUUAAUCUUUACACCCUACAUACACACACAUAAAAGACCCUAGCCCCAAUUUUUCUCUCUACACUUAUUCUCCCCCUAAACACCAAAAAUUCUAAAAGAAAAACCUAACUCCCUUCACUCCCAAAUUAGGAAGUGUUUCCAAAGGUUUUACAUUCUUCUUCAUUUAUUCAAAAGUACCCUUUUGAUUUUCAAACUCAAACCCAUCACUUGAGGACCAACUCUAAUUUUAUUUGACAAUUGGUGUAUAUUUUAAAUGUUUUAAUUUUCUUCUUCAUCAAAUUUUAUUCCUUUUUUUUCUUUUUGUAAUUUGGGUGUAAAACCCAUUUGUUUCCCCUUAGUAAGGUGAAGACGUGCAGGUUCAACCCAGACCCUUCGGAUUUAAAUCAUUAGUACAGAACACACUCGUUUUAGUAUUUUUAGACUUCUAGAAGCUUGGACUCGUGCGGGCUUCACUUGUAGUCGCACGGGUUCAACCUUAAUAACUAUGUGCAUUGUCAUUUUUUGUUUUCUCCUGUCAUUUUAGCAAUCUGGGGCUUUUGGAAAUCGAACCUCGUGCGGUUUAGCCUGUACCUGUGCGGGUUCAGCUUGUACCCGAGCAGGUUCAGCCUAUACCCAUGCGGGUUCAACCUGUACUUGUGCAAAUUCAGCAUUAAUAGUCCUUUUUUUUUGCUGAUCUGGCUGCCAUUUUGCUAUUUUAAGGCCUUUGGAGGCUGACCUCGCGCUAGCUCAGUCUAACCCAACACUUGUUCAAUCUGCCAGAACUUGUUUAAUUUCCAUUAAAUUUUAAUAAACUAUGUGCUUAAUUAUACUUCUCGCCAUUUAAUUUCCUUAUAACUGUGCGCAGUAUCUAUUAUUUACUACAUUUUAUUUAUAUUCAUUUGUUUUGAGUCCUUAAGGCCGUGUUUGUAACAAUUUUCCCCUAAGUGCUUGAUGAGCAUAGUUUUACACAUAUUUGCUUGCAUAUUAUUGCAUAUGUUCUUAGCAAUUAUUGUGCAUUUAUUCCCAGAUCACCCGUGUUUCGUGUUCUUUUGCAUUUCAGGAACAUUUAUAGGACCGUCAUCGGUGUCUAAGCAAUUAUAGAUCAAUACGUGCUGAAACGGACGAGAAUUCAUCAAUAUCGGACAAGAGCCCGCAAUGCAUACAUUGAGCACGGCCUGGACUCUGGCCGUGCUCAACCAUUGGCUUUGAUUCUUGAAAUUUGCACUUUGGGCAUGGUUUCCGUAGCCACCACAGCCUUCAGCACGACCCGUGGUGGCCAACACAGGGAGAAACACGGCCCGUGGUGGCCAACACGGAGAGAAACACGGCCGUGGUGAAACCCUACUUGGUGAGAUCCACAGUUUCAGCAUGGCCUGGACUUCGGCCGUGCUGACCAGCACGGCCUUGAACACGGCCAUGCUGAGUUAAAUAUAUAAGAAAAAUGAAUUUUUCUUAGAAAAGAGAGGGGGAAAAAGAGUGACAUAGAGCCUUGGCGGCUGGUUCGGUUUCUGCACAGUAUUGAGUGCAAGAGAGAGUUGCGGUGAGUAAGAAUCCUAGAAUCGCAAGGUUCCGAGUGCAAAAUAGUAGUGGAGUAAUUCAAGAGGCAGUUUGGGAGAUUAAUCAAAGUGUAGAUCCAGAUUUGGAGCUGUUCAUCCAAUUCGAGAGAAAAGGGUGUACAUGUUUUAUUUUCAUUAUUCUUUCAUUGUAAUUGAUUUCCUAGAUUGUUUUAAACAUGAACAUGUUUAGCAAGACUGAUUUAAUCCAUUGGGAUUUCUUUACUAUGUUGGCUUGAUACUAUAUUGUUGGAUUAUUUGAGUUGGUUUUGUAUUCUUCUUAUUUUCAGUAUUAAUAAGAUAAUGCAUUAUUCAUGAGACGUUGUGAAUUGUGAUGUUUAGAUUGCUUUAUGAGAUUGAGAAAUGCGUUUGGCAAUUGAAAUUUUGAAUAGCAAGAACUGGUUAAUAAUCGCUUAGAGAUAAGGAUAAUUAACUAGCCGGAUUAAGAAUUAACAAAGCUUUAUAGAGGCGGAUUAAAGUUUAAUGCUAAUUUAAGAUUCAAUCGUUAGGAAGAGAUUCCAACUUUAGGUUAUUAGGUUUAGGAAUUCGGUUAUCUCGAGAGAGAAACCGAAUUCGGUUAAGAAUUCUUUCACGGGUAGCAUAAUUAGACUCACCGAUCCUUUAUCUUUUGUUUGGUUGCCAACUAGUUUAGAUUUUCUUUGGGUUUGUCUUCUUGUCUUGAUUAUUUCAUUUAUCAAUUACUCAUGCAUCUCCCUCAGAACUUAGCUUGUAGUUAAUAGUUAGUUUAGAAAUUAUUCAUCAUCCAUUUUAGAUUAAUAUAACAAAGAACAAAAAAGUAACUCUGGGCUUUCACUUUCCCGAGGAAUACGACCUUGAUACUCGCCAUUAGUGCUAGACUGCAUCGAUAGGUACACUGCCUUGAUACGACCUUUUUGAGUUACCUUUUCAUUUCUAUCUCCUCUUGAGUUGAUGGUAAAAGAAAUGAUCUUAUGGAGAAACCAAUGAGAAAGGAACUUGAUGCUCCUGGCUAAAGAGGAUUUGGCAUCAUAUUUUGCUUCAGUGGAUAUUUCUUCCCAAAUGGUGGAGAAUCACAUCUUCAUAUCCGUGAUAUGGAACAUUUCCUCAUUAUAAAAGCCAAAAACUUCUUUUACUUGUUGCCUAGUUAGGCCAUAAGGCUUUCCAAAGAGGUUGAAGCAGAUUCUAUAGAAGCCUAAUGGGUCACUAAGUUUCUUCUUUACAUCCUACGGUGCAAAGAAAUUCCCUAGUAAGUUCUUCAUACCCAUUCUCAUUUUGAAAUACAAGUUUCUCCCACCCAAUAGCUCCUAAGAAUCCUAU